Molecule: long non-coding RNA, 56168 nt
Filed under: Triticum aestivum (bread wheat)
Lineage: Eukaryota; Viridiplantae; Streptophyta; Magnoliopsida; Poales; Poaceae
Description: long non-coding RNA (TAES_LNC015772)
Source: RNAcentral
UGUUUUUUUAUUUUGUGAAGCUUGAUUGAUGACUUGUAUGUUUAAGUGGGAUAUCUCAUUUGUAUGGACAAAGUAAAAAUUAUCAUGUUUUGCAUGCUUGAUUUUUAUCGAUGGUUCGUUUAUGUCAAUUGUGAGCCGGAGGAGGCCACAGAAGAGCCGGCCACACCAAGAGGGUGCUUGGAUCCAAGGGACUUAUUUUAGUCUGACUAAAAAUAGUCUCUUUAAGAGGCUAAAGUUCCAUGCACCCCUGACUAAAGAGGCGCUAAAACUAUUCUUGAGACUAAAAUUUUUUAGUCAGGGGUACCCCUACUAAAAUGUGGAUUAGUCCUCUCUCUCCUCAUUUAACUCCUCUCCUUUAACACAGGAGAGUUCUGGAUUGGAGGGUUUGGAGGAUAAUAAAUGCUCAUUAACUUGAUUUUAGUCUCUUUAGUACUUGGAUCGAAGCAUGGGUGAGGCUAGCAAGUUUUAGUCCCACUACUUUUAGUCAUGGAAAAUAAAACGUAUCCAGGCACCCUCCAAAUCCGGCAGGAAAUAGGGUCCAAAGUAGUCAAAUGAUUGAGAUAGAGCAUUUAUUGUCAAUCUAACCCUGCCAUCCAUACACCUCUUUGGUUUAGAGUUAGUUCAGGGUUAGAAUCUAACUCUAACCUCUAACUGAGUUAGAGUUCUCCUUGUCUCGGUUCAUCGUCAUCAUAGUUUCCCCAUUCCUAUGUUUUCAGUAUCCUGCGAAUCAAAGAGGCCCUUUUUUUGCGGGAAAAUCAAAGAGGCCCUUAGACUGGUUUAGGUCCGGUCAUUUUUUAUGAACAUGUUAUGUCCAAAAUUUAAUGAACAUGCUCCGGUUUCCAUGAAAAUAAUCUGGUUUCAUGUAGUAAUUCAUUCAUUUAUUUAUUCUUCUGCGGGGGGUUUGCAUGUAUUUCGUGAGGUCUGAAAUGUAAAGUACCCCGGCAUAUGCUCCGAGUCGUGCAUGCGCUACGACCCAGAUGCUCUAUGUCCCACAUGUCGGCGAAUGGGAGCACGUGGAAAUAGCCUAGGAGUACAUAUAGGAGGAUAAAUGCGUGAAAAAAUAUGUACUGUGAAGCGUAGCCGUGGUUCAAAAAGGAGACCUGAAGUGAUGACAGCUAUAGGUCGCACGCACCCAACUAGUGGCACUAGACAUACGACUAAUUUUUCCCUCAAAAAAAAGAGGCACGAGUGCUCAGUACUCCUAUUCUAUAAACAUGAGUCCCAUCUGACAACAGCGUCCGUGCUACAGCUAGCUCUCCUCUCUCGUUUCUCUCUUCUAAUUCUAAAGUCGGCCGACGCCCGGUUGGCGGGGGUGGGUUUUCUCAACUGCGGCCGCACCUCAUAGUGAAAACAUUACGACUGGAAUAAAAAUGCCAUAAACUCCCUCCGUUCAUAAAUAUAAGCCUUUUUAUAUACUAUUUCAAAUGGAAUACAACAUACAGAUGUAUGUAGACAUAGUUUAGAGUGUAGAUUCACUCAUUUUGCUUCGUAUGUAGUAGUCACUUGCUGGAAUCUUUAGAAAGACUUAUAUUUGGGAAUGGAGGGAGUACUAUACUAAUAAAACAUUAAGGCCAUGAGGCAAUGCAAUGCUGGUUAUAGGAGGCAAGAAGAAGAGAUGCGUCCAUCAAUGACAUCCACCUCCUCGACUCAGGGCGCCGGCCCACCGAACGAUGCCUAAGUAGCAGCGGCUUUCAUGGCCAGGUCUAUGUGCUUCUGAACAAUGGCGUCCAAAGAUUCCAGCCACUAGAAGAAGGCCAACGUCUUUCUGUCCACGCUUGCCUUGUAGUGGCCUAUGUAGAUGAUUUCCUCGUAGACGUGGAUGUGCAGGUCAACGGUUUCUUGACUGGCGAGGCGCUGCGCGGCGAGCGCAGCCUCGAGGUGCACAUUCUUCGUCACGACCUCCGGCACUUGCAGGGCCACCAGGGCUUGAAAGAGUUCAUCACUGUCGGUGUCAAAACCGGCGGAUCUCGGGUAGGGGGUCCCGAACUGUGCGUCUAGGCGGAUGGUAACAGGAGACGAGGGACACGAUGUUUUACCCAGGUUCGGGCCCUCUUGAUGGAGGUAAAACCCUACGUCCUGCUUGAUUGAUAUUGAUAUUGUGGAUGUUUACAAGAGUGGAUCUACCACGAGAUCAAGGAGGCUAACCCUAGAAGCUAGCCUAUGGUAUGAUUGUAAUGAUUGUUGUUGUGUCCUACGGACUAGAGCCAUCCGGUUUAUAUAGACACCGGAGAGGGCUAGGGUUACAUAGAGUCGGUUACAAUGGUAGGAGAUCUACAUAUCCAUAUCGCCAAGCUUUCCUUCCACGCCAAGGAAAGUCCCAUCCGGACAAGGGGCGAAGUCUUCAAUCUUGUAUCUUCAUAGUCUUGGAGUCUGGUCGAUGAUGAUAGUCCGGCCGAUGACAGUUCGGCUGAUGAUGGUAGUCCGGCUAUCCGGACACCCCCUAAUCCAGGACUCCCUCAGUAGCCCCUGAACCAGGCUUCAAUGACGAUAAGUCCGGCGAGUAUAUUGCUUGGCAUUGCAAGGCGGGUUCCUCCUCCAAAUGAUAGAAGAUUGUAACACCAGGAUAGUGUCCGGCUCUGCAAAAUAAAUUCCACAUUCCACCGUAGAGAGAAUAAUAUAUACACAAGUUCAAUCUGCUGACGUUUUUUGUGGCAUGACGUCAUGCCAGUACCAAGCCAUUACUUGAAUCGUUUUUUACUCUACCACCUCAGCGCAUUUAGCGAAGCGGUUUCCUUGGCACGUCUUGUCGAAGCAGAGAUCGUGUUCCCCCUUAAUCCGGGAUUCUCAUCAAUGCGGACAUGGGUAACCCAACCGCGCCAUUGAUGGUGACGCUUGGGGGAUAAGAGAGUUUUACCAGGCCGGUGGGGGACACGUAGACUUCGCCCGCCCAUAUAAGGGAUAAGGAUUCACCUUUUCACCUACGCCUUCUUCCUCCUUUGCUUAUCCAUCUCCGCGCACUCGAGCUGCAGCGCCCAAGCCCGCACAUCCCGUCUCAACCUUCCCCAGUCAUGUCUGGAGCGGGAGGCAAGUGGAUGACCUCCUCCGUUACGGAGGAGCACAUCGAAAGAUUGUGCAGCGCCGGAUACCUGUCCGGCGACAUCGCGCACCGGCUGCCCGACGAGGGGCAGCUCAUCCCCACCCCCAGGCCCCAUGAGAGGGUCGUUUUUCUUCCCCACUUCCUCCGCGGACUGGGCUUUCCACUUCACCCCUUUGUCCGGGGGCUCAUGUUCUAUUACGUCCUGGAUUUCCAUGAUUUGGCGCCGAACUUCAUCCUCAACAUCUCGGCGUUUAUCGUCGCGUGCGAGGCCUUCCUCUGCAUCCAGCCCCACUUCGGCUUGUGGCUCAAGACCUUCAAUGUCAAGCCGAAGGUAGUGAAGGGCACUCAAGCGGAGUGCGGAGGCGCCAUGUUGGGCAAGAUGCCGAACGUCCUUUGGUUCGAAGGGGCCUUCGUGGAAUCCGUCAAGGGGUGGCAAUCGGGGUGGUUCUAUAUCACCGAGCCGCGUGACCCUAAGUGGGUGGCGGCCCCCGAGUCCAGAUCUGGUAUCCCCACGCAGCUCACCUCUUGCAAAGAGAAGGGCUUGCUGUGGGGUAGUUUGGAGGAGGUGACGGGACUCCAAGCCUGUAUCCAGAAGCUGGUGAAGAAGCUCAGGCUGGUUAACGUGGUCCAAGUCAUGCUCGUCCGCCGGAUUCUCCCAUGCCAAGAGCGGGCAUUCAAUCUGUGGGAGUUCAAUCCGGAACAGCACCAGGCGCUGAGCGGGCUCUUCGACACGACGUACGAAGGCGCCUAAAGGGUGCUGUUUAAGGGCGCCGAAGCCCCCGCAUCCGCGACUGAAGAUCGCGGAUUUCACUCGCAGCGCCAAGCCGACGAGGUAAGUGAUUCUACCCCUUUACGGGACACUUGCUUUUCAUAGUUUGACUCUAUGCGGGUUUUAAUUUCCCCUUUUCCUUUGACAAGACUGGAUGAGGAAGGCGGAGCAGAUUAUCUACCCGACUCCUAUGCCAGAAAACCCAGUAGACGCUCGUCUAGCGAGGCUGCUGGUUCCGACACCGCACGUGGUGCCGGAGAAGAAGGCCAAGAAGGAGGCCACGGGUGCUCGAAAGAGUUCCUGUUUUCAGGUGUCCGACGACUCCAGGGCGGACUCCUCCCCCGAAAACGAGGAGGAGAAAGAGGACUCUCUCCCAGAGGGGGGAGAGAGGAAGAGGAGGGCUUCCCCAACAGGGGAGGCCGAAGGGUCCAAGAGGGGAAGGACUAUUCCCCCGGACAGCUCCGCCAACAUCAACGCUGGCGAGGAAGAAUGGCCUUCAAGGGCCAGGCCUCUGGCGAGAUCGUAAGUAUCCGGAUUCCUGAAUGAGUUAUAAUUUCUUUUUCUGGGUCACAUAGUGUCAUUCUGAUGCCGCAUGCUGCCUGUAGUCCGGCCAAUGAUGAUCUUCCCGCUUCAACGAGCGGGUCGUUGGCUCCAUCGGAGGUAGACUCCAUCCCGACCGCCUCCACCCCUCGCGACACUAAGGACACCGAGGUGGGAUCCCAAGAAGGGACCCCUUAGGGGGAGGCUCCGAAGGCGCCACAAGGCGGCCUCCCGGACUUUGUGCCGGACUCCAUAUCAGAACCCGCAGUGGUUCCGGAGUCCGGCCGGCGGCCCCUUCGCACGAAGGGCAAGACCGUGACGCCGGAGGCUUCCGUCCAACCGGAGGCACCAGACAAUUUGUUGGAGGCGCUCCAGAGCGCUUCCAUCGAGGAAGAACACCGCACUAUUAUGAGUGCGGUGAUUCAGAAGGUACAGCUCGCCAAGAGCGGGCUGACCGAAGCCUGCAGUAGCCUUCUAUCAGGCUUUGAGGUAAGAAGUUAAAAAUAUGCCAUGUAAUACCUCAUAGACAGUAGCCCCUGAUGCUCGGUUCGGUGUUCGGAAAGAAAAGCCGGACAGAGGAUCUGAAAAAAAAAAGAUAUUCGCAGGGUUGCUAAAAAAUUAUGUCAAUAUGGGUUGCAGGCUACGCUGCUGACCUCUGCCGCACUGACUGCGGAGGUCGGUGCUUUGAAGUAGGAGCUCGAGCGGUCCGAGCAAGAGCUCAGCCGCGCCAAGAAGCAGCUCCAGGACAAAGAAGGUGAGUAACACCACUUUGAAAUUGUACCUUACAGAAAAGGAUUUAGGUUGCAACAAAAAAUAACAAGGAUAACAUGGGUACUGCAGGGGCCACGAACGAGGUGGCGACCCUAAAGGAGGCCGUGUCUGCGGCCGAACGCAAUGCGGCCGCGGAACGAGCAGAGCGAGAAAAGCAGGAGGCACGGGUGACGGUGGUUCAGCAAGAGCUCCCGGCUCUCAUGGAAAGGCAUGAGAGUUUGGAGCGUGACUCAAAGACUCGAGAGUCCGAGCUUGUCUCGGCUCUCGAAAGUGCCAAGACUGCCAAGGCCGAUGCCCAUAAGUCCCUUCAGGACAUUGAGUUGGUGAGGAAGAUAGCGGCGGGUAAGGCAUUUUUCAUGCAAAGCAAGCAUGUGAAUGUAAAUUACGUGUUACUUACCCGUAUUCGGAGCUCUCUAGGGGCAUUUGCAGAUCUGCCUCGCAGUGUAUCUAAUGCCGCCGCAUUCUAUCGAGCCGAGGAGGGGAGCUCAACGGAGAAGGUCUUCUGGUCUCAGUAUGCUGAGGCCGGCCAUCCGGUGCCCCCUAGCGACCAGCUGAAGCAGCUGGUCGAGCUCCACAAGGCGGCCGAGCAGGCCAUGAAGGGCCUCGUAGUCCGGCUGUGGCCUGGAGAGGCCAUGCCUGGGAGCUACUUCGGCCUCGUGCGAUGGUUGGUGGAUGCGUGCCCCUGGGUGGAGGUUAUCAAGUGCUCCGCCUAUAUUGAAGCUGCUCGUCGGGCCCUUGCCCACGCAAAGGUGCAUUGGGUCAAGCUGGAUGCGGAGAAGCUAAUCACUGACGCGCCACCAACGGGCAAGGAAUAUCGUAUGCCCGAAAUGUACUAUAAGACUGUUCUGAAGGGUGCCCGCAAGAUUGCGGAUGAGUGCCCCAGGGAUGUAAUUAUUGAGUAAAUUCGCAAUGUGUUAUCCUGUGCGCUGAAAACUUUGUUCAUAUGCGCUAAGCAACGGUUGUUAAUUUAAAAUAUUUCCUUCUGUGCGGCCGUUUAUUAAAUCUGAGAGACGGCAAGUCGUCGGCUUCAGCCCCCAUGCCACGAGUGCUGGGGUGUUCGGGAUAAACUUGAGCACUCUUGUUCCCAUUUUUGGGUCCAUCUAGGGAGGCGCUCAACACAACGAACAAGGCAACCAGACUUAUAGUGCUUGAACACUAUCACUUAGCCUUAGAAUUCUAUAAUUUUAAAUUUCGGCGAAGCCCCUAGUAUUCGGAAGACCGAAUUAGGGGCGCUAUCCACGCCUUCGUCGGACAUUAUCCGGAACUUCGCUCGAAGCGGCAUAGGUCUUUAAGGACCCGAAAGGACCUCUCGAACAGCGACUAGUCUCUCGCCUUAUCAUGACAGUCAGUUUUAGCUUUCUCCACUGAGGCGUUAACCCGGCUCAACCGGGGUGCAAUCGCAGUGGUUCUCCCAGUGCUACCUUAGCCGAUAGAACGGAAACGUAAGGUGCCAAACAUGGGAGCCGGGCAAACCCAACUAUUGACCCAAGACAUGAUUCGGAGCCGAUUCAUAUAAUGCUAUAAGUUCGGGGUGCCGCACUUGAGAAAGUGUGCGGACUUUAUCACACCAUAAUGCGGGGAACAUAAGCCCCUGGUGUAUUUGGCCGUACCAAAAUGUACGGAUGCAACAUGUCGUAAAUGAACAUAUAUAUAUAUAAUGUAAUGCAAUUAUGGGCAAAAAGUGCUUCAUUUUAUUCGAGAAGAUCUGUUAUGAGUACGGAAUGAUACAAAUAGUGCGGAAAGCAAGGGAUUGGACGAAUUAAAGGCGUCUUCCUCCAGGGGUAGGCCGCGGAAUGGUGUAUUUAACAAAUUUAAUGCUCGUAAUGGAGACCACCUGAGUGUUCGUCGCGGCCUUUGUCCCUCCCUGGCUGUUGCAUCAUGAGUUCGGCAGGUUCGCCGCCGGACAGAGUUCUGUACAAAAAAGAGAAAAAUAAAAGAUAAAAAGAGCGACACACUUGGGAGCCCCUGGUGUGGUCGAACCGCACUCUGGGUCUGUUGUGGUUGUGCCUCUCCCCCUAUGCCCAUGGUAUCUCCAGGGCGUAAUUAUGUACGCGGAGAGUUUGUCUUACAAUUGAGCAAGGGCUGGGGUUGAGGCCGCAUUGCUAUGCGUGCUCGGAACGUGCCAGGUGGUCUUGGUUGACGUUGCUCCGGGCGCGUUUGGCCGUGUCCGGUCGUUUAAUGGCCGGACUCGAAAAUUGCCUUAAAAGGCUGCUCUGUACUUCUGCCGCGAGAGCCGCUGUAUGUUCCUCCGUUCGGAGGGAGCAUUCUGUGUUUCCAUUGACUGUGAUGACUCCACGAGGGCCUGGCAUCUUGAGCUUAAGGUAUGCAUAAUGCGGCACCGCGUUGAAUUUUGCGAACGCGGUUCGUCCGAGCAGAGUGUGAUAGCCACUGCAGAACGGGACUAUGUCGAAGAUUAACUCCUCGCUUCGGAAAUUAUCCGGGGAUCCGAAGACCACUUCCAGUGUAAUUGAGCCUGUACAACUGGCCUCGACGCCUGGUAUGACGCCUUUGAAGGUUCUCUUUGUAGGUUUAAUCCUUGAAGGGUCUAUGCCCAUCUUGCGCACUGUAUCCUGAUAAAGCAGGUUCAGGCUACUGCCGCCGUCCAUCAGGACUCUCGUGAGGUGAAAUCCAUCGACGAUUGGGUCUAAAACCAAUGCGGCGAAUCCACCAUGGCGGAUACUGGUCGGAUGGUCUCUUCGAUCGAAAGUGAUCGGGCAAGAGGACCAUGGGUUGAAUUUUGGGGUGACUGGCUCCAUCGCGUAUACGUCCCUUAGUGCACGCUUCCGCUCCCUCUUGGGAAUAUGCGUUGCGUAUAUCAUGUUUACCGUCCGAACUUGAGGGGGGAAUCCCUUUUGUCCUCUGUUGUUCGGCGGCCGGGUCUCUUCCUCGUCGUCGCUGUGUAUCCCCUUGUCACUGUUUUCGGCGAUUAAUUUUCCUGCCUGCUUGAAUACCCAACAAUCUCUGUUGUUGUGGUUAGCUGGCUUUUCGGGGGUUCCAUGUUUUUGAUAGGAGCGGCCGAGUAUUCGGUCCAAAUGGGACGGGCCCGGAGUGGUUCUUUUGAAUGGCUUCUUCCGUUGACCGGGCUUGGAGCCUCGGAAUCCGGCGUUGACUGCCGUAUCCUCAUUGCUGUCGCCGUUAAUGCGGCGUUUGUUUUUGUUUCGACGCAACCUACCAUUACAGUCCUUGGUAUUCGGACUGCCAGCGUUUUUGCUGAGGUUGUUGCUGCGAGCUAGCCAGCUAUCCUCUCCCGCACAGAAGCGGGUCAUGAGUGAUGUGAGGGCUGCCAUGGAUUUUGGCUUCUCCUGUCCUAGGUGCCGGGCCAGCCACUCGUCGCGGAUGUUAUGUUUGAAGGCAGCGAGGGCCUCUGCAUCCGGACAGUCGACGAUUUGAUUUUUCUUUGUUAGGAACCGUGUCCAGAAUUACCUGGCCGAUUCAUCUGGCUGCUGGAUUAUGUGGCUUAGGUCAUCUGCGUCCGGUGGUCGCACAUACGCGCCCUGGAAGUUGUCGAGGAAUGCGGCUUCCAGGUCUUCCCAGCAUCCAAUUGACUCUGUGGGCAGGCUGUUAAGCCAAUGCCGAGCUGGUCCUUUAAGCUUGAGCAGGAGAUAUUUGAUGGCGUGAAGAUCGUCGCCGCGGGCCAUAUGUAUAUGGAGGAGAUAAUCCUCAAUCCAAACCGCGGGGUCUGUUGUGCCAUCGUAGGAUUCGAUAUUAACGGGUUUUAAACCUUCAGGGAUUUGAUGAUCCAUUACUUCGUCAGUGAAGCAUAGUGGGUGUGCGGCGCCUAUGUAUUGAGCAAUAUCGCGACGUAGCUCGAGAGAGCGUUGUCUGCUGUGUUCGGCCCGGCCGGAGUAGUUGUAUCCGGCGUGACGGUAUUCGUCGUGGGUCUUGGGGCGCCCGCAUGAUCCAUAGAUAGAUCUGGAUUGUCUUGCCUUGUCCUCCAACAUAUCUCACAAGUCUGGCGCGUUCCCCCGUGGCUUCAUGCUUUUUGAGCGAUGCUGGAGUACGGUUUUGGUGGAGGGCUUGCUUGCCUCUCUGUCGCGGCCACGAGGUGGUCGGUCUGCCGUAUUGUGCGCUGGUGAUGCAGGUUUGUACGCUUCCUCCUCUAGUCGGGGGAGCAACUUGCGUUUUGGGUAACUUUUGGAGGGGCGUUCGAGUUCAUACUCUUCGGCCGCGAGGACCUCGGUCCAUCUGUCGGCUAGUAGGUCUUGAUCAGCUUGAAGCUGUUGCUACUUUUUCUUUAGGCUGUUUGCCGUGUCCAUUAGCCUGCGUUUGAAACGCUCUUGUUCGACGGGAUCCUCAGGCACGACGAAUUCGUCGUCGUCGAGGCUUGCCUCGUCUCCGGAGGGAGGUAAGUAGUUAUCAUCCUCGACCUCUUCGUCUGCCGCCCUCUCGUGAGGGCUUGCUUCUGCCUCCUCCUGCGCUGGAUCGUGCUGGAGGGGGUUGUCUUCGGCACUUUCCGGGGUGCUAUUAUCUCCUGUGCCGGAAUCUCCAUUCUUGCUGUGGCGGGAUUUAGAGCGGCGCCGCUGACGUCGGCGCUGGGGCUGUUUCUUUAAGGAAUCGGCCUCCGCUGCUUCUUUGCCAUCCCCAUCUUUUGGGGUGUCCACCAUGUAUAUGUCGUAUGAUGAGGUGGUCUUCCAGUGUCCUGUAGGCACUGACGAUGUCUUCGGAGUCGUAGUCGAGUACGUCGGUUAGAUCGUCGACGAUGGCUACGAAGUGGGUGGUGGGUGGGCUCUGAAUUUCUUCGUCGUCCGCGUCCCAACCGUCCUGGCCGUAGUUCGGCCAGGGCUCUCCGGAUAGCGAGAGAUGCUUCAGCGAAUUUAAGAUAUCGCCGAAGGGUGAGUGCUGAAAGAUGUCCGCAACAGUGAAUUCCAUGAUCGGCGCCCAAUCGGAUUCGACUGGUGGGGGCGCAGGAGGUUCGGAGUCCGGCAGAGAGUCUGGCACCUCGGAGUCAUGAGCUUUAUGCGGGACAAGGUAAGUGUUUGGCUCCAUCGCCGUAGAAGUCCUAGCUCCCGAGGCGGUGUCCAGCCAUCCGUCCUCGAUCUGAGCGAUCGGCUCCGGACUAUGGGUCGGAGCAGAUUCAUGUGCGGCCUCCAAGGUGCUGUCCGGCGGCAGAGUUAGGUCGUGCCCAUCGUGACAGCGCGGCACGCUCGGCUGUGGCUCAGGUCCAUCGAUGAUCAAGUCCCCGCGGAUAUCGGCCGUGAAGUUUAGGCUUCCAAACCUGACCUGACGGCCAGGGGCGUAGCUUUUGAUCUGCUCCAGAUGGCCAAGUGAGUUGGCCCGUAGUGCGAAGCCGCCGAAUACGAAGAUCUGUCCGGGGAGAAAAGUCUCACCCAGGACUGCUUCGUUGUCGAUUGAAGAGGCCAUCAAGCCUAUCGGUGAUGACACAGAGGAACUCUCAAUGAAAGCACCAAUGUCGGUGUCAAAACUGGCGGAUCUUGGGUAUGGGGUCCCAAACUGUGCGUCUAGGAGGAUGGUAACAGGAGACGAGGGACACGAUGUUUUACCCAGGUUCGGGCCCUCUUGAUGGAGGUAAAACCCUACGUCCUGCUUGAUUGAUAUUGAUAUUGUGGAUGUUUACAAGAGAGGAUCUACCACGAGAUCAAGGAGGCUAGCCUAUGGUAUGAUUGUAAUGAUUGUUGUUGUGUCCUACGGACUAGAGCCAUCCGGUUUAUAUAGACACCGGAGAGGGAUAGGGUUACAUAGAGUCGGUUACAAUGGUAGGAGAUCUACAUAUCCGUGUCGCCAAGCUUGCCUUCCACGCCAAGGAAAGUCCCAUCCAGACACGGGGCGAAGUCUUCAAUCUUGUAUCUUCAUAGUCUUGGAGUCCGGUCGAUGAUGAUAGUCCGGCCAAUGACAGUUCGGCUGAUGAUGGUAGUCCGGCUAUCCGGACACCCCCUAAUCCAGGACUCCCUCAAUCACCAUGGAGGCCGAUGAGGGUGGCAGGCAAUGAGGAGCCUGGGCGUGCGGGCUGGAGCAGUACAGCAAGGUUGUCCGCGCGCUUCUUUACGGUGGUGAACUUGCGGAUGGAGUUGACCAUCAUGUCGUCCAUGCAAGAGGCGAAGCCGGCGUCGGCGAGGGCUACGAUGCCUGCGGUCGCCAGCACCAUCUGGAAACGCUGCACGGUGCAGGUCCGCAGGCCGGCGCCUUGGAUGAUUUGGCAUAGCCGACUGCCGCUCGCGUCCAUCGCCUCCAUAGGUGCUUGUGGCUUUUGGUCACUUGGUCUUGGAUUGGAGUGAGCAGUGUUGCGUAGAGACUUGGGAGUAUAUGGAUUGGAGUGGUGAGGCGCCUUUAUUAUAUGAGAGUCCAAACUCUGUUGCAUUCACAUCGUGCUAGCUCUAUUCUGCUUCUCCAAUUAGUUCCCUCUGCAUGUAAUUGAGGAUGCAUCAUUGACCGUUCAACAUCUCGGGAACCGCUACCCUCUCCCUCCUUGGCAUUCAAGCACCUAUGGACUCGUCGACGACGACGUGCCUGUGGUGACUUUGUAAAUUUCAAGAUGAUAGUGCCAUGCAUGUGUGAAUUCAUAGGGGUGAGUGUAUGCGCGUGUAUAUGAGCGCUUGCGUUUGUACUGUGUCAAAAAAACCGUAAAUGCGUGUCAAAAAGAGACUAGUCAGUAUACUCAAUAUUGUGCACCUCGGAGAGGAAAAUGAUAGAACUAGUACGUAUUUAUUUAUGGUGCAGAUUCACUCAUUUUGCUCCAUAUGUACUCCGUCUCGGUGUAGUCUAGUCACUUGUUGAAAUCUCUAGAAGGGCAAAUACUACUUUCUUGUUUACAUGGCUAUACUAGAAAGUAGUUGUACGUACUAGUACAAUAGUGGGCUCACAUAGCAAUUUUGUCUCAUGCAACGUUCGGUUUGCGCUUGGCUCUUCGCCUCUUCGAGAAGACGAACAAUGAUGUUACUACUACUGCUUCUACAAUGUCGAAUCCACUGCUGCAUGUCCGUCCAUCGUGAGCAGGACAGAUAGCUUGUUGUAGAAGUACUACUAAGCAAAAGCCUAUCCUCGUUUGGGAGCAACCGCGCGCAUGGGCGAGGGAGAAGGCAUGUAGUAAAAUCAAGCUUCUCUUCGUUGUACGAGUUGACGCGACACAUCAUAGCACUGGCCCCACAUGCUUGCCUCUAAACUUGGCUGAAAGACCCGCAGUGUACAAUAUAUUUGCUGCAACCUCUAACAUUUACCCACCACAAAUUAAAAUAUAUGUGUCGUAUGCAUCAUUCUGAUGCAGAGGCCGGGGAGUCCACCCUUUUCGAAAAAAACAAAUUAAAAUAUAUAUUCUUGUCUUGACCAGAUGAGCGUGCAAACUACAAUCACCAGGGUGACAGGUAGGGCCAGAAGACUAUUUUAAUUUUUUUUAAAAACUUCGAGACUACUCUACACAUGAAACUGCCACACGAGCAUCCGAGCUGCACUUGGCUCUUCGCCUCUUCGGGAAGUCGAACAAUUAUGGAGUACUACUGCACCGGAGGAGUGCUACAGUACGCUUCUGGCCAUCUGACACCGAUUGAAUUGCUGCAUGUCCACCGCGUGUGGGAGGGAGAGCGUGUAGCGAAAGCUUCUCCUAGUCUUGCCAGCCACCACGCUCAUGGACGAGGGAGGGACGCUCCUGCCUUUGCAUGUAUGACCUGUGGGCCCGACAGGUGGGUGGCCAACCUGUCAUACAGCCAAAGGCAGGAGCAGUUAAGUCCGCGAGGGAGAGGAUAAUCAAACUUCUCGUUGAUGUACGAGUUGACGUGACACAUCAAAGCACUGCACUCGAUAUAUUUCAAUAGUUUGCGGUUACCGAUGCAUUAAUUACAACGCAUGCAUGCAUGCCCUAACUCUCCUUUUGAUACUUGCAUGUGUUAUUUAAUGCACCUUGAAGUAGUACUCCCUCUGAUUCCUUUUACUUUGCAUAUAACUUUUUCUUGUUUUUCUCAUAUUAGUCUGCGUGUCCGUGUUGGUUUCCAUCUGUGCCCCCGCUCGAUUAGUUCUGCCCCCAUUAAUCGCGCCAGUUUCCAAAGCAGAAAAUGGCUACAGGCAAAUGCACGCAGCGCCGGAUGCGGCUUGACCGCCUGGGGAAGCCAACUCAAGUGAAAAGGAAGGAGGACCAGCCAACCAUUGCAUGUGCAUUUACUAUCGACAUUUAUGCAGCUUACUCAUGCGCAGGGGCAAAUUUGUCCAGAAAACUCAAACUACCGCCUUCCUUGGUAUGCGGGAGGAGUGUUAUGCACAGAGUAUAAAAUAUGUGACGGUAAAGCUUUGUAAUGCCCCGGCCCAAGCGAGAGAUGGUUGUGCACGAGGAGGGCGAGAUCAUGCAGACGGAACAGGAACCGACGAGGGAGCUCACUAAGGUCUCGAUGGACCUCACCGUGCUCCACUGCCCCUUGUGCCUUCUCCCCUUGACGCCUACAGUGUAUGAGGUUCGAAUACACCUCGUCCAUUCGGCUGAUUGAGCAAGGUGUAGGUUUCUUGAUUGAUGUGCUAUUCAAUUGAUUUCUGCAGUGCAAGGGAGGGCACCUCGCCUGCGCGGACUGCCGCGUCGAGCGCCUGGAGAACCUGCGGUAGUGCUAGAAGUGCGAGCGCGGUGGUGGCUUCGACAUGCGGAAUACGGCGGUGGACACCGUCAUUUCGUUGCUGAGGGUAGAGUGCCCGCAUGAAGGUUGUGGGCUCUACGUCACUUACCACAAGCUCGCCGAUCACCAGAGCGUGUGUCCGCUCGUGCCUUGCAAAUGCCCCAUGCCCGUCUGUGCCUACGAAGACCCGCCGCCGGUGCUCUACCACCACAUCAGCAACGCGUAUCCCAUGCCCGUGCACAGGAUCCAAUACGGCAAGGUGCUCCAGCUGCAAGUGCUACUGUCGGAGCCAUAGCUCUUGCUGUUCGCGGAGGAGGACGGCCGCACGUUUUUCUUGGUCGGCGGCAUGCUCGACAUUGGCGCGCCUAUCACCGUGUCGGUGGUUUGCAUCAGAGCGGGGGCGUCCCCACUAUCGCACUAUGUGGCCAAGCCUUGGGCAAACGGCCCGCCGGGGGAGCCCAAAGGCACGACCGACGCCAUCAAGGUGGAAAUGGAGGUGACAAGCAGCAAGGAUCCCGGUGACGUCGACGUGCAGGAGCUGACCUUCUUCACAGUUCCGCCCAAGCUGCUGGCCGGGGCUAAGCUGGUGUCCCUCCACAUUCAGAUUGACAAGCUCACGUCCUAAAUGUUUCUACAAUGCCUUCUGUUUAUCUUAGUAAUAUGCUAAUAUAGGGAUUACCUCGGUCUACUUUAGCUUAAGAAAUGGUGUGUUUUGGUGGCGAUGCAACAAUUACUUUGACAUCAGAUCAGUAAUUUCCAAUAGUCGAAUGGAUAUUUUGUGUCUGUUGGAUAUAAAGUUCCUUUGGGUAAGAAGUGCUCCCUCCGUCCCAUAAUAUAAGAACAUUUUUUAUAGUACGCUAGUGUAAAAAUGCUCUUAUAUUAUGGGACGGAGGGAGUACUAGAUAAAAGGAGAUGUAUGUAGACGUAUUUUAGUUUUAGAUAUUCCCCUUUUUAUCCAUUUUGAUGACAAGCACUCCCUCCGUUCCACAAUACAUGCCUUCCAUUUGUCAAAAUACAGAUAUAUCUAGACAUGUUUUAGUAUAUAGGUACAUCCAUGAUAGAGCUAGUCGGAUGGUUGAGAACACUACAGUUCGUAGCUACAGAUGCAUGUGUGACUCCCAGAUGCAGAAGCCGGGGGUCAUCAUCCUGCUUUUCGAGAAAAAACAGACACAUGUGUGAAAGGACGAGUGCGUGCGUGCACCUCUUCUCUUCUUGUAUAACGUACUAAACUCAGAGUACAAGUUUUUGUGGGUGGCACGAUGGUGCGUGCGAGAAGUCCUGAGAGAUAGGUUUAAUGCGUCUAAAAAAAGACUAGCCUAUAGCUCGCCACGCGGCUAUUCCAGCCGAACGCCCCAUUAACCAUCAGAUAUGUAUACGACGGUGCCAGUUAUUGCACGUACACAGUAGAAAAAGUACACCACGGCCGAGAACACGUGCCCACGUAACACCAUCCGGGAAUAGUGCCGCACUUCGAAACUAGAACCGUUAAUAAAUUUUGAGCUUGCGUCUCGUCACAUUCCAAAUUACUCCAUGCUAUACUGAAUUGCAAACCUGUUCACACCAAUCACAACCUAAACGGUUUCCCACUUAGGAGUGUAUUAGUACUCGGUUAUAAAUACUAGUGUGCCAAGAUGACUGCACAUUCCUCCUCAACUCCUCAUCCACAAAAACAAACAAGUCAUUCAGCAUCCUUCCCUUGCGUCUGCCAUGGCCAGCAUGAGUUCUAGGUCGAGAGAUUGCCACCAUGGAGAGGCGAGUAUGGAUGCGGAAGCACGAGAGAUGUCCCGCCUCGCUGCGAAAGCAGCCGACAUGUCCCUCCGCGCGGAAGUAGCAGCACAGAGGUCCCGCCGCGCCGCUAAAGCAGCACGGAGGUCCCGCCGCGCCGUUGAUGCAGCAGAGUGUAGAUUAACUCAUUUUGCUCUGUAUGUAGUAGUCACUUGCUGGAAUCUUUAGAAAGACUUAUAUUUGGGAACGGAGGGAGUACUAUACUAAUAAAACAUUAAGGCCACGAGGCGAUGCAGUGCUGGUUACAGGAGGCAAGAAGAAGAGAUGCAUCCAUCGACGAUGUCCACCUCCUCGCCUCUGUAUGUUGUAUUCCAUUUGAGAGAAGCUCCGAUUUGCAAGAAGCUUAUACCCAAAUUUUUUCCUAUUUGGCCAAUUUUUUUACCAUGGCAUGGUACUACCAUGACAUGACACCAUGCCAAGUAUCAUGAUUUUAAAACCAAGUUUCUCAAUGUUCUCGACCGAGCCACGAUGCCCAGAUGUUUGAAUUUUAUUCUCAUUUUCUGCAUGGGACCUAGAAAUUCACCCAAGGACACAAAUGUGAUUUUUCAACUAACUUUGGUGCACGGGAGCAUGUGCUUGUAGUUCAAAUUUGAAUUAUGCACAUUAAAUGACCAAAAACUCAAUUAAUGUGUAAAAAAGGCCAAACGAAGCCGGAAUGAUUUCCAAAAUUUAACAGGGCACUCAUGUGGUUCUAUGAUGCCUUUAUAAAUAAACUCAAGGGGGACAAUGUAUGUCGUUUUGCACUCAAAGGUGACACGUUCCCUCUCAGAACCACGAGCCUUCUUGAGAGAAGCUUCGGUUUGCAAGAAGCUUAUACCAAAAUUUGUUCCUAUUUGGCCAAUUCUUUUACCAAAGCAUGGUAGUACCAUGACAUGACACCCAUGCCAAGUUUCAUGAUUUUCAGACGUGUUUUGGAUUUACAAGAAUUUAAAAACCAAGUUUCUCAAUGUUCUCGGUCGAGCCAUGAUGCCCAGAUGUUUGAAUUUUAUUCUCAUUUCUUGCAUGGGACCUAGAAAUUCACCCGAGGACACAAAUGUGAUUUUUCAACCAACUUUGGUGCACGAGAGCAUGUGCUUGUAGUUCAAAUUUGACUUAUGCACAUUAAAUGACCAGAAACUCAAUUAAUGUAUAAAAACGACAAACGAACCCGGAAUAAUUCCAAAAUUUAAAAGGGUACUCAUGUAGUUCUAUAUUGCCUUUGUUAAGAAACUCAAGGGUGGGGGGGGCAGCGUAUAUCGUUUCACACUCAAAGGUGGCACGUUCCCUCUUAGAACCACGAGCUUCCAAAUUGGCCCAAUUUUUACCACAACAUGAUAGUGCCAUGACAUGACACCAUGACAAGUUUCUUGAUUUCCAAACGAGUUUUGGAUUUACAUGAAUUUAAAAUCUAAGUUUCUCGAUGUUGUCGGCCGAGUCACGACGCCCAGAUGUUUGAAUCUCAUUCUUAUUUCUUCCAUGGGAACUAGAAAUUCAACCAAGGACACACAUGUGAAUUUUCAACCAACUUUGGUGCACCGGAGCAUGUGCAUGCAGUUCAUAUUUAGAUUAUGCACUUUAAAAGUCCAGAAACUCAAUUAAUGUAUAAAAAGGCCAAACGAACCCGAAAUAAUUCCAAAAUUUAACAGGGCGCUCAUAUAGUUCUAUGUUGCCUCUGUAAAGAAAAUCAGGGGGGAGGCAGCAUAUAUCGUUUCGCACACAAAGUUGACACGUUCCCUCUCGGAACCACGAGGCUUGUUGAGAGAAUCUCCGGUUUUGCAAGAAGCUUAUACCAAAACUUGUCCCAAUUCAGCCAAAAAUUAUACAUAUGAAAACAGGGUUUAGAUUAUCUCGAACAUCUCGCUACGUAGACCAAUAAUGUACUAUGAUUUGAACUCAACAUAAAAUGGAUACAAAUAUUUGAAUUGGAGAGUGUAUGGUACAUGUAGUUCAUAGUGAAAUAUGAUUACUGCUAUAUGCAUGUUUUUUGUUAUCAAGAUAAUAUUUAAAUUAUUGUAUAACUUGACAACAAUCAUAUCCAAAUAAGGAAAAUUGAUUCAAAUUUAGUCCAUAUGGUAGACGACAAUACAUAUGCUCCGGUUUCCAUGAAAAUAAUCCGGUUUCAUGUAAUAAUUCAUUCAUUUAUUUAUUCUUCUGCGGGGGGUUUGCAUGUAUUUCGUGAGGUCUGAAAUGUAAAGUACCCCGGCAUAUGCUCCGAGUCGUGCAUGCGCUACGACCCAGAUGCUCUAUGUCCCACAUGUCGGCGAAUGGGAGCACGUGGAAAUAGCCUAGGAGUACAUAUAGGAGGAUAAAUGCGUGAAAAAAUAUGUACUGUGAAGCGUAGCCGUGGUUCGAAAAGGAGACCUAAAGUGAUGACAGCUAUAGGUCGCACGCACCCAACUAGUGGCACUAGACAUACGACUAAUUUUUCCCUCAAAAAAAAGAGGCACGAGUGCUCAGUACUCCUAUUCUAUAAACAUGAGUCCCAUCUGACAACAGCGUCCGUGCUACAGCUAGCUCUCCUCUCUCGUUUCUCUCUUCUAAUUCUAAAGUCGGCCGACGCCCGGUUGGCGGGGGUGGGUUUUCUCAACUGCGGCCCCACCUCACAGUGAAAACAUUACGACUGGAAUAAAAAUGCCAUAAACUCCCUCCGUUCAUAAAUAUAAGCCUUUUUAUAUACUAUUUCAAAUGGAAUACAACAUACAGAUGUAUGUAGACAUAGUUUAGAGUGUAGAUUCACUCAUUUUGCUUCGUAUGUAGUAGUCACUUGCUGGAAUCUUUAGAAAGACUUAUAUUUGGGAACGGAGGGAGUAUUAUACUAAUAAAACAUUAAGGCCAUGAGGCAAUGCAAUGCUGGUUAUAGGAGGCAAGAAGAAGAGAUGCGUCCAUCAACGACAUCCACCUCCUCGACUCAGGGCGCCGGCCCACCGAACGAUGCCUAAGUAGCAGCGGCUUUUGUGGCCAGGUCUAUGUGCUUCUGAACAAUGGCGUCCAAAGAUUCCAGCCGCUAGAAGAAGGCCAACGUCUUUCUGUCCACGCUUGCCUUGUAGUGGCCUAUGUAGAUGAUUUCCUCGUAGACGUGGAUGUGCAGGUCAACGGUUUCUUGACUGGCGAGGCGCUGCGCGGCGAGCGCAGCCUCGAGGUGCACAUUCUUCGUCACGACCUCCGGCACUUGCAGGGCCACCAGGGCUUGAAAGAGUUCAUCAUUGUCGGUGUCAAAACCGGCGGAUCUCGGGUAGGGGGUCCCGAACUGUGCGUCUAGGCGGAUGGUAACAGGAGACAAGGGACACGAUGUUUUACCCAGGUUCAGGCCCUCUUGAUGGAGGUAAAACCCUACGUCCUGCUUGAUUGAUGUUGAUGAUGUGGGUAUUACAAGAGUAGAUCUACCACGAGAUCAAGGAGGCUAAACCCUAGAAGCUAGCCUAUGGUAUGAUUGUUGUUCGUCCUAUGGACUAAAGCCAUCCGGUUUAUAUAGACACCGGAGAGGGCUAGGGUUACACAGAGUCGGUUACAAUGGUAGGAGAUCUACAUAUCCGUAUCACCAAGCUUGCCUUCCACGCCAAGGAAAGUCCCAUCCGGACACGGGACGAAGUCUUCAAUCUUGUAUCUUCAUAGUCUUGGAGUCCGGCCGAUGAUGAUAGUUCGGCUAUCCGGACACCCCCUAGUCCAGGACUCCCUCAGUAGCCCCUGAACCAGGCUUCAAUGACGACGAGUCCGGCGCGCAUAUUGUCUUCGGCAUUGCAAGGCGGGUUCCUCCUCCGAAUAAUUCAUAGAAGAUCGUGAACACCACGAUAGUGUCCGGCUCUGCAAAAUAAAUUCCACAUACCACCGUAGAGAGAAUAAUAUUUACACAAGUUCAAUCUGCUGACGUAUUUUGUGGCGUGAUGUCACACCACCACCAAGCCUUUACUCGAAUUGUUUUAAUUGUACCACCUCAGCGCGUUUAGCGAAGCGGUUUCCUUGGCACGUUUUGUCGAAGCAGAGAUCGUGUUCCCCUUAUUCCGGGAUUCCCAUCCAUACGGACAUGGGUAACCCAACUGCGCCAUUGAUUGUGGCGCUUGGGAUAUAAGCGAGUUUUAUCAGGUCGGUGGGGACACAUGGUUUCGUCCGCCCAUAUAAGGGGAUAAAGAUCCACCCUUUUACCUACGCCUUCUUCCUCCUUUGCUUAUCCAUGUCCGCGAACUCGAGCUCCAGCGCCCAAGUCCGCACAUCUCACCUCAACCUUCUCCAACUAUGUCCAGAGCGGGAGGCAAGUGGAUGGCCUCCUCCGUUACGAAGGGGCACAUCAAGAAGCUGCGCAGUGCCGAAUAUCUGUCCAGCAACAUCGCACACCGGCUCCCCGACGAGGGAGAGCUCAUCCCCACCCCCAGGCCCCAUGAGAGGGUAGUAUUCCUUUCCCAUUUCCUCCGCGGACUGGGCUUCCCACUCCAUCCCUUUGUCCGGGGGCUCAUGUUCUACUAUGGCCUGGAUUUCCAUGAUCUGGCCCCGAAUUUCAUCCUCAACAUCUCGGCGUUUAUCGUCGUGUGUGAGGCCUUCCUCUGCAUCCAGCCCCACUUUGGCUUGUGGCUCAAGACCUUCAGUGUCAAGCCGAAGGUUGUGAAGGGCAGCCAAGCGGAGUGCGGAGGCGCCAUGGUGGGCAAGAUGCCCAACGUUACCUGGCUCGAGGGCACCUUCAUGGAAACCAUUAAGGGGUGGCAAUCGGGGUGGUUCUACAUCACCGAGCUGCGUGACCCUGAAUGGGCAGCGGCCCCCGAAUUCAGAUCUGGCAUCCCCAUACGGUCACCUCCUGGAAAGAGAGUGGCCGGACAUGGGGUGAUUCGGAGGAGCUGACCGGACUCCAAGCCUGCAUCCAAAAGCUAGUGAACAAGAAGCUCAAGCUUGUCAACGUAGUCCAGGUCAUGCUCAUCCGCCGGAUUCUCCCGUGCCAACAACGGGACUUCAAUAUGUGGGAGUUUGUUUCGGCGUAGCACCAGACUUUGAGCAGGCUCUUCGACACUACGUACGAAGAGGCCUGGAGGGUGCUUUUUAAGGGCGUCGAGGCUCCCGCAUCCGCUACCGAAGAUCACGUAUUCAGCUCGUAGUGUCCGUCUAGCGAGGUAAGUUAUUUUACCCUUUACGGGACACUUGUUUUCCAUAGUUUGACUCUAUGCGGGAUCUAAACUCCCUCUCCUUUGACAGGACUGGCUGAAGAAGGCCGAGCAGACUAACUGUCCGGCCCCUUUGCCAGAAGACCCAGCGGACGCCCGCUUAACGGGGCUGCUGGUUCCGGCACCCCACAUGGUGCCGGAGAAGAAGGCCAAGAAGAAGGCCACGGGCACUCGAAAGAGUUCCCAUUUUCAGGUGUCAUCGGACUUAUCGUCCGAUGACUCCGAGAUGGACUCCUCCCACGAAGGCAAGGAGGAUAAGAAAGAGGCCUCUCCCCCAGCGGGGGGAGGGAAGAAAAGGAAGGCCUCCCCCAACGAGGGAGGCGAAGGGUCCAAGAAGGGAAGGACUCUUCCCCCAGACUGCUCUGCCAACACCGGCGACGACGACGAGGACUGGCCUUCAAGGGCCAAGCCCCUGGCGAGGUCGUAAGUAUCCGGACUCCCGAAUAACUUCAUGAUUUUUCUUUUUGCCACAUGGUGUCUUUCUAAUGCCGCAUACAAGCCUGCAGUCCGCCAAGGAUGAUCUUCCCGCUUCGUCUAGCGGGUCCUUGGGUACAUCGGAUAUGGAUUCCCUUCCGACCGCCUCCACCCCCCGUGAUGCGGACUAUGCCGAGGUGGGAUCCCGGGAAGGGACCCGCCAGGAGGAGGAGGCCCCAGAGGUGCCGCAGGGCAACCUCCCGGACUUUGCACCAGACUCCGCACCGGAACCUGUAGUGGCUCCAGAGUCCGGUGGGCGGCCCCUUCGUAAGAAGGGCAAGACCGUGACGCCGACGGCCUCCGUCCAACCGGAGGCGCCGGAUAGCUUGCUGGAGGCGCUCAACGGCACUUCCAUCAAAGAGGAACACUGCACUAUCAUGAGUGCGGUGAUUCAGAAGGUUCAGCCCGCCAAGAGCAGGCUGACGAAGCCUGCAGCAGCCUUCUAACAGGCUUUGAGGUAAGAAUUUUGAUAUAUGUAAAAUAGUACCGCAUAGACAGUAGCCCCUGAUGCUCGGUUCGGUGUUCGGAAAGAAAAGCCGGACUGAGGAUCUAAAAAGAUAUACGCAGGAGUCAUAAAAAAAUAUGUCAAUAUGGGAUUGCAGGCUGUGCUGCUGACCUCUGCCGCAGUGACUGUGGAGGUCAAUACUUUGAAGCAAAGCCUCAAGCGGUCCGAGAACGAGCUCGGCCAUGCCAAGAAGCAGCUCGAGGACAAGGAAGGUGAGUAACACCUUACUAAAAUUGUACCGUACAGAAAAAGGAUUUGGUUGCAAGAAGAAUGACAAGGAUAACGUGGGUAUUGCAGGGGCCACGAACGAGGUGGCGAUCCUGAAGGAGGCGGUGUCCGCGGCCAAACGUAAUGCGGCCGCGGAGUGCACCGAGCGAGAGAAGCAGGAGGCGCGGGUGGCGGAGGUACAGCAAGAGCUCGAGGCUCUCGUGGAAAAACAUGAGAGUUUGGAGCGCGACUCGAAGACUCGAGAGUCCGAGCUUGCAUCGGCUCUUGAGAGUGCCAAAGCCGCUAAGGCCGAAGCCUACAAGGCUUUCCAGGAAAUCGAGGCGUUGAAGAAAAUAGCGGCGGGUAAGGCAUUUUUCAUGCAAAGCAAGCAUGUGAGUGUGAAUUACGUAUCACUUACCUGAAUUCGGAGCUCUCCAGGAGUGUUCGCAGAUCUGCCCCGCAGCGUGUCCAAUGCUGCCGCUUUCUAUAGGGCCUAGGAGGGGAGCUCGACGGAGAAGGUCUUCUGGUCUCAGUAUGCUGAGGCCGGACAUCCGGUGCCCCUUAGCGACCAGCUGAAGCAGCUGGUCGAGCUCCACAAGGUGGCCGAACAGGCCAUGAAGGGCCUCAUAGUUCGGAUGUGGCCCGGGGAGGCCAUGCCUAGGAGCUACUUCGGCCUGGUGCGGCGGCUGGUGCAUGCUUGUCCAUGGGUUGAAGUCAUCAAGCACUCCGCCUGUAUUGAAGGUGCCCGUCGGGCGCUUGCCCGCGCAAAGGUGCAAUGGGGCAAGAUGGAUGCUGAGAAGCUUGUGACGGACGCGCCACCGCCAGGCAAGGAGUAUCGCACGCCCGGGAUGUAUUAUAAGAGUGUCCUGAAGGGUGCCCGCAUUAUUGCGGGUGAGUGCUCCAAAGAUGUAAUAUUUGAGUAGACUCGCAUUUUGUUAUCCUGUGCGCUGAAAACUUCGUUCAUAUGCGCUAAGCAACGCUUGUUAAUUUAAAAUAUUAGCUUCUGUGCGGCCGUUUAUCAAAUCUGAGAGAUGGCAAGUCGUCGGCUUCAGCCCCCAUGCCACGAGUGCUGGGGUGUUCGGGAUAAAUUUGAGCACUCUUGUUCCCAUUUUUGGGUCCAUCUAGGGAGGUGCUCAACACAACGAACGAGGCAACCGGACUUAUAAUGCUUGAACACUCUCACCUAGCCAUAGAAUUCUAUAAUUUUAAAUUUCGGCGAAGCCCCUAGUGUUCGGAAGGCCGAAUUUGGGGCGCUAUCCACGCCUAGGCCGGACAAAGCCGGUUCCUCGCUCUAAGUGGCAUAAGUCUUUAGGGACUCGAAAAAAACCUCUCGAACAGCGACCGGCUCUCGCCUCAUCAUGACGGUCAGUUUUAGCUUUCUCCACUGAGGCGCUCACCCAGCUCAACUGGGGCGCAAUCGCAGUGGUUCUCCCAGUGCUACCUUAGCCGAUACACCGGAACGUAAGGUAGCAAAACAUGGGAGCCGGGCAAACCCAACUAUUGACCCAAGACAUGAUUCGGAGCUGAUGCAUAUAAUGCUAUAAGUUCGGGGUGCCGCACUUGUGAAAGUGUUUGGACUUAUCACACCAUGAUGCGGGAAACAUAAGCCCCUGGUGUAUUUAGCCGUACCAAAGUGUACGGAUGCAACAUGUCAAAAAUGAACAUAUGUAUAAGAAAGAAAUGCAAUUAUAAGCAAAAAGGUGCUGCAUUGUUUAUUCAAGAAAUACUGCCGUGAAUGCAGAACGAUACAAAUAGUGCGGUAAGCAAGGCAUGGGACUAUUAAACUUGUCCCCCUCCAGGGGUAGGCUGUGGAAUGGUUUAUAAAACAGAUUUAAUGCUCAUAAUGGAGACCACCUGGAUAUUCGUCGUAGCCUUUCUCCUUCCCUGGCUGUUGCAUCAUGAGUCCGGCAGGUCUACUGUCAGACAGGGCCUCUAAUGAACGGAGUCCUGUGGGUAAAAAAGAAUGAAAAAGAGAAAAAAAGGAACGACACACUUGAGAGACCCUGGUGUGGUUAAGCCGCAUUCUGGGCCUAUCGUGGUCGUGCCCCUCCCCCUAUGCCCAUGGUAUCUCCAGAGCAUAAUGAUGUACGUGAAGGACCAGUCUUGCAAUUUUGCAGGGGCUGGGGUUGGGGCCGCAUUGCUACGCGUGCUCGGAACGUGCCAGGUGGUCUUUUGUAGGUUACUCCGGGCGCGUUUAGCCGUGUUCGGUCGCUUAACGGCCGGACUCAAGAAUUGCCUUAAGAGGCUGCACUGUACUUCUGCCGCGAGAGCCGCUGUAUGUUCCUCCGUUCGGAGAGAGCGUUCAGUGUUUCCGUUGACCGUGAUGACUCCUCGAGGUCCUGGCAUCUUGAGCUUGAGGUAUGCAUAGUGCGGCACCGCGUUGAACUUUGCAAACGCGGUACGUCCGAGCAGAGCAUGAUAGCCGCUGCGGAACGGAACUAUGUCAAAGAUUAACUCCUCGCAUCGGAAGUUAUCCGGGGAUCUGAAGACCACUUCCAGUGUAACUGAGCCUGUACAAUUGGCCUCUACACCUGGUUUGACUACUUUAAAGGUCGUCUUUGUGGGUUUAAUCCUUGAGGUGUCUAUGCCCAUUUUGCGCACUAUAUCCUGAUAAAGCAGGUUCAGGCUGCUGUCGCCGCCCAUCAGGACUCUGGUGAGGUGAAAUCCAUCGACGAUUGGGUCUAAAACCAAUGCGGCGAAUCCGCCGUGGCAGAUGCUGGUGGGGUGGUCCCUUCGAUCAAAAGUGAUCGGGCAGGAGGACCAUGGGUUGAACUUCGGGGCGACUGGCUCCAUCCCGUAUACAUCCCUGAGUGCACGCUUCCGCUCCCUUUUGGGUAUGUGGGUUGCGUAUAUCAUGUUCACCGUCCGCACUUGUGGGGGGAAACCCUUCUGUCCUCUAUUGUUCGGUGGUCGGUUCUCUUCCUCGUCAUCACUAUGCAGCCCCUUGUCGUUGUUUUCGGCAAUUAGCUUGCCUGCCUGCUUGAAUACCCAACAGUCCCUGUUGGUGUGGUUAGCUGGCUUUUCGGGGGUGCCGUGUAUAUGGCACAAGUGAUCGAGUAUUCGGUCCAAAUUGGACGGACCCGGAGUAGUUCUUUUGAAUGGCUCUUUCCGCUGACCGGGUUUAGAGCCUCUGAAUCCGGCAUUGACUGCCGUAUCCUCAUUAUUGUCGCCGUUAAUGCGGCGUUUGUUCUUAUUGCGACGCGACCUGCCAUUGCGGUCCUUGAUAUCCGGACUGCCAGAAUUUUUGCUGAGGUUGUUGCUGCGGGCUAGCCAGCUGUCCUCUCCCGCGCAGAAGCGGGUCAUGAGUGAUGUGAGGGCUGCCAUGGAUUUCGGCUUUUUCUGUCCCAGGUGCCGGGCAAGCCACUCGUCGCGGAUGUUAUGUUUGAAGGCCGCGAGGGCCACCGCAUCCGGACAGUCGACGAUUUGAUUUUUCUUAGUUAAGAAUCGUGUCCAGAAUUGUCUGGCCAAUUCGUCUGGCUGCUGAAUUAUAUGGCUUAGGUUGUCAGCGUCUGGUGGUCGCACAUACGGGCCCUGGAAGUUAUCAAGGAAUGCGGCUUCCAGGUCCUCCCAACACCCAAUUGAUUCCGCUGGCAAGCUGUUAAGCCAAUGCCAAGCUGGUCCUUUAAGCUUGAGUGGGAGGUAUUUGAUGGCGUGAAGAUCAUCACCGCGGGCCAUGUGGAUAUGAAGUAGAUAGUCUUCAAUCCAAACCGUGGGGUCUGUUGUGCCAUCAUAAGAUUCAAUAUUCACGGGUUUAAACCCUUCGGGGAUUUGAUGAUCCAUUACUUCAUCUGUGAAGCAUAGUGGGUGUGUGGCGCCUCUGUAUUGGGCUAUAUCACGACGAAGCUCAAAAGAGCUUUGUCUACUGUGUUUGGCCCGGCCGGACUUGCUGUGUCCGGCGCGACGGUUGUCGUCACGUAUCAGGGGGCGCCCAUGCGAUCCGUAGAUUGAUCUUGAUUGUCUUGCCUUAUCCUCCAAUAUAUCUCGCAAGUCCAGAGCGUUCCCCUGUGGCCUUGUGCUUUUCGAGCGAUGCCAGGGUACGGUUCUAGUGGAGGGCCUAGAGGCCUCUCUGUCGCGGCCACGGGGUGGUCGGUCAUCCGUAUUGUGCGCUGGUGAUGCAGGUUUAUAUGCCUCCUCCUCUAAUCGGGGGAGCAGCUUGCGUUUGGGGUAGCUUUUGGAGGGCCAUUCGAGCUCAUGCUCUUCGGCCGCAAGGACUUCAGUCCAUCUAUCGGCUAGCAGAUCUUGAUCAGCUCUAAGCUGUUGCUGAUUUUUCUUGAGGCUGUUUGCCAUGGCCAUAAGCGUGCGUUUAAAAUGCUCUUGUUCGACGGGAUCCUCAGGCACGACAAAUUCGUCGUCGUCGAGGCUUGCCUCGUCUCCGGAGGGAGGCAUGUAAUUAUCAUCCUCUACCUCUUCGUCUGCCGCUCUCUCAUGAGGGUUGGCUUCUCCGUCCUCCUGUGCUGAAUCUUGCUGGAGGGGGUUGUCUUCGGCACUGUCUGGGGUGUUAUUAUCUCCGGUGCAGGAAUCUCCAUUCUUGCUGUGGCGGUAUUUAGAGCGGCGCCGCUGACGCCGGCGCUUGGGCUGUUUCUUGGAGGGGUCAUCCUUCGCUGUUCCUUCGCCAUUCCCAUCCUUUGGGAUAUCCACCAUGUAUAUGUCAUAUGAUGAGGUGGCUUUCCAGUGCCCAGUAGGCGCUGGUUCUUGGUCGUCUCCAGCAUCGUCGUCCAUACCGUCGAUGUCUUCAGAGUCGAAGUCUAGCAUGUCGGUUAGAUCGUCGACAGUGGCUACUAAGUGGGUGGUGGGUGGGCUUUGAAUUUCUUCGUCGUCCACAUCCCAACCGUCCUGACCGCAGUCCGGCCAGGGCUCUCCUGAUAACGAGGGGUACUUUAGCGAACUCAAGAUGUCGCCGAAAGGUGCGUGUUGAAAGAUGUCCGCAGCGGUGAACUCCAUGAUCGGCGCCCAAUCGGAAUUGAUUGGAGGGGUCGCGGGAGGUUCGGAGUCCGGCAGGAGUCCGGCAGGAGUCCGGCACCUCGGAGUCACGAGCUUCACAAGGGACAAGGCCAGUAUUCGGCUCCAUCGCCGUAGAGGUUGCAGCCCCAGAGGCGGUGUCUAGCCACCCGUCCUCGAUCUGCGCAGCCGGCUCCGAAUCGAGGGUCAGAGCGGGCUCAUGUGCAGCCUCCAGGGCACUGUCUGGCUGCAGAGCUAAAUAAUGCCCAUCGUGACAGUGCGGCGCGCUCGGCUGUGGCUCGAAUCCAUCGAAUAUCAAGUCUCCAUGGACGUCAGCCGUGAAGUUCAAACUUCCAAAUCUGGCCUGACGGCCAGGGGCGUAGCUUUCGAUCUGCUCCAGAUGGACAAGCGAAUUGGCCCGUAGUGCAAAGCCGACGAAUAUGAAGAUCUGUCCGGGGAGAAAAGUCUCACCCUGGACUGCGUCGUUGUUGACGAUCGAAGAAGCCAUCGAUCCUAUCGGUGAUGACACAGAGGAACUCUCAAUGAAAGCACCAAUGUCGGUGUCAAAACCGGCGGAUUUCGGGUAGGGGGUCCCGAACUGUGCGUCUAGGCGGAUGGUAACAGGAGACAAGGAACAUGAUGUUUUACCCAGGUUCGGGCCCUCUUGAUGGAGGUAAAACCCUAAGUCCUGCUUGAUUGAUAUUGAUGAUGUGGGUAUUACAAGAGUAGAUCUACCACGAGCUCAAGGAGGCUAAACCCUAGAAGCUAGCCUAUGGUAUGAUUGUUGUUCGUCCUAUGGACUAAAGCCAUCCGGUUUAUAUAGACACCGGAGAGGGCUAGGGUUACACAGAGUCGGUUACAAUGGUAGGAAAUCUACAUAUCCGUAUCGCCAAGCCUGCCUUCCACGCCAAGGAAAGUCCCAUCCGGACACGGGACGAAGUCUUCAAUCUUGUAUCUUCAUAGUCUUGGAGUCCGCCCGAUGAUGAUAGUUCGUCUAUCCGGACACCCCCUAGUCCAGGACUCCCUCAACUCCCUCCUCAUUCGAAAUCGCUCUCGCAGCCCAAACACGCGAAAUCCCCCUUCUACCCCUUCUACCCCUCAAUCUUGUGUCAAAACCGGUGUGGGUACGCUGGUAACUUACCCUACAUUUCGGACAAGCGCGUCCUUAAGCUUGGAUCCCCCUCCCCCUUCGCCCCCCAUUCGUACACCGAGGUCGCCAAAACCCGCGAAACCCCACGCUCCUCCGUCUGCCUCCCGACCGCCGCCCAACCGGAGACUCUUCCCUGACUAUGUCAUCCACCGUAACAGCUCGCCAUCCCUCAUCCACCGCACCGGACGAGGAUCCAUUGUCGAUCUCGUCGUCCCGCCGGAUCAGCCGCCCUGUCCUCCACCUCCAAGGAGCUACCUCGACGUUCACCUCGUCUAUCGCGCCACCUCAAUCCCCACAGCGCCGUCUUGACCUGCCCCACCGGAACCGCAGCACCCUCACCAAUUCCUCCGAUGAAGCCGAGGCCAACUCAGCGCCUGAUAUGUCUCCAACGUAUCUAUAAUUUUUUAUUGCUCCAUGCUAUUAUAUUACCUGUUUUGGAUGUUUAUGGGCUUUAUUUUACACAUUUAUAUCAUUUUUGGGACUAACCUACUAACCGGAGGCCCAGCCUGUAUUGCUGUUUUUUUACCUAUUUCAGUAUUUCGAAGAAAAGGAAUAUCAAACGGAGUCCAAACGGAAUGAAACCUUCGGUGGCGUGAUUUUUGGAACGAACUUGAUCUAGAGGACUUGGAGUGCAAGUCAAGAAGCAGCCGAGGCAGCCACGAGAUAGGAGGGUGCCCCCCCUUGUAGGGCGCGCCCCCCCUGUCUCGUGGGCCCCUCGGGCGGCCACCGACGUACUUCUUCGUCCUAUAUAAGCCUACGUACCCCGAAAACAUCCAGGGAGCAACCGAAACACAAUUUCCACCACCGUAACCUUCUGUAUCUGCGAGAUCCCAUCUUGGAGCCUUCGCUGACGUUCUGCCGGAGGGGGAAUCGACCACGGAGGGCUUCUACAUCAACACCAUAGCCCUUCCGAUAAGUUGUGAGUAGUUUACCACAGACAUACAGGUCCAUAGUUAUUAGCUAGAUGGCUUCUUCUCUCUUUUUGGAUCUCAAUACAAUGUUCCCCCCUCUCUUGUGGAGAUCUAUUCGAUGUAAUCUCUUUUUGCGGUGUGUUUGUCGAGAUCCGAUGAAUUGUGGGUUUAUGAUCAAGUUUAUCUAUGAAUAAUAUUAGAAUCUUCUCUGAAUUCUUUUAUGUAUGAUUGAGUUAUCUUUGCAAGUCUCUUCGAAUUAUCAGUUUGGUUUGGCCUACUAGAUUGAUCUUUCUUGCCAUGGGAGAAGUGCUUAGCUUUGGGUUCAAUCUUGCGGUGUCCUUACCUAGUGACAGAAAUUGUUGGGGAUGUAACUAUUCGUGUAAGCCGCCCGGGAGGGGCCGGGUUACACAAAGAAGACUCACCGGAAGGAAGCCCAAGACCAAGCAUGAAGAUGGUGGUUCAGUACAGGGUCUGAGGCCCACGGGUGAGUUGAGGCCCGUCGUAGUAAACCGUCAUAAUGGCAUGACUUGUAUCAUAAGGUAGAUUUAAUUAGUCACCGAGCCGGACACUGUUUAUGAGCCGACCGGUACUCUGUAAGCCGCAGGGCAUCAACCCGUGUAUAUAAGGGGAUGACCCGCCGGCAGCUUAGGCCAAGAAACAACUGAUCGAGAGCCGGACAUAGCGUAUCUCGCUCCCUGGUCAUCGAAACAUCAAUACCAACCCAACUAGACGUAGGCUUCCCUUCACCGUAAGGGGAGGAACUAGUAUAAACCUCUCGUGUCAUUUUUCCCGAUUAACCCCUUCAAGCUUCCUAGUUGCGAUGGCUCCACAACUAAGUCCUUUCACGAGGACAUCUGACGUGACAAUUUCACGACAGUUGGCGCCCACCAUGGGGCCAGCGCACGAUGGAUUUGAGUUCUUGAAGGGCAACUUCGAAGGGCUCAACGGAUACGUAGUGGGCCGGAUGACCAAGAGUCGCCGCGACAAGAUCUACAUCGACGACGAAGGAUGGGGCCCCGACGCCGGCUCAAUUGAGUACGGAUACCGGGUCCCCUUCGGCGGAAUUCACGUCUUCAUCGGCUGGAUCGGUGAGCCGGGCCCUAAGCCGGACAACUGCACCGACCUCGUCGAGACGGCUCAGCGUGCGAGAAAGGCCCGAGUUCAACCCGUCAUGAAGCAUGCCUUCAUGGGCUGCAUCCACGAAGAGGAACUUUCUGAAGGAUCUGAAGAUGGUGGUGAGACGGCCGUCCUCUUGGACGGUGAUUCGUCCGCCGGCUCAACAGAUUCACUAUACCAAGUCCAAGACGACGUGCUUGGGGGCUGUUCCGAUGGCACUAGUAUUCCGGACCCUUGUGAGCCGCCAAGAUGGGCAGGAGUUUUCAUGGCUGGGACUCAACCCGGCCAAAAUUCUAGAGCCGCUACAGCAAUAACGUCCGGGACAGGAGCGGCCGGGGCAGGAGGCCCUGUGCGCCCACCGGCUCAGGUGCUGAUAGAUCUCAUGGACAAGCUUACGGCCCUGUUAACCGCCACGGUUAUUCCUGCAAAUAAAGAUGAGCAUGACGUAGAGGUGGCACAUGUGCGUGAGGAGAUAGCUCAGGCCAAGGAGGCCUUGGCGGCUGAGGACACUAGAUUAGCCACAGAGCGGGCGGCUCUAGUUGCACGGGUGCAACAGCUACAGUCAGAGGCCUACUAGCUCAUGAUGAGCCUAAACGCAUCCAACGAGGUGAUGAGGAAGAGACAUCAGAAAUCACAGUCCCGUUUACCUCCGGUUUAUGAUACUCGGAAUCUUUUCGCUACACCCGGAGCCGGUCCAAGUAACCCGCCAGAUACAAAUCAGUUUAUGACAACCGGAACAGGAGGACCGACUCAGCCUCAUGGGAGUAUGGCUCCGCCCCGUUACGUGCCGAUACCGCCGGGUCACUUUUCCAACCCCAUGGAGAACUUAAUCGCAGCAUUGGCGCGCUUGGCAGCUCUCCCUGUGGUACGUCAAGCAACGCCCAGCGCCGUAACCAGCCGGGUGGCUAUAAUCCGGUGCAAGACCGAGUACGUCAGAAGAACAAGUGGGCGACUCAGCUAGCGGCUCAACAAACGGCUCAUCAAGGUUUCCCAGAGUAUCCGACGACUUCCGUUGAGACGGGAGUAGACACUAGAACUGGUGGUGUUCUUAGUUCGGUACCGGCUCUGCGUAAUGUGCGCCUACCCAAGGAUUUCAAGGGACCUCGAAAGGUGCCGAAUUACACGGCCGACUUGCAGCCCGAAGCGUGGAUCGAAAGUUAUGAGAUGGCCAUGGAGCUGUUGGAGGUCAGCGACGCAGCAAUGACUAAGUAUUUCACCUAGAUGUUAGAUGGAACGGCCCGGUCUUGGUUAAAGGGUUGAUGGAUAUAAAUUCACUAAGGUACUCAUGGACGGAGGUAGCAGCAUUAAUAUCUUCUAUUAUGAGACCUUUCGAUGCAUGGGAUUGACUGAUAAGAAUUUGAGGACAUCCAACAUUGUUUUUCAUGGAGUGGUUCCUGGUAAGUCGGCUUACCCAGUUGGCAAGAUUGAACUAGAAGUGGCCUUUGGAGAUGAGUAUGACUCCAGGGCUGAGAAAUUGACGUUUGAAGUGGUUAAAAUUAGGAGUCCAUAUCAUGCUCUGUUUGGGCGGCCGACUUAUGCUAAGUUCAUGGCACGGUCGUGUUACGUCUAUUUACAACUCAAGAUGUCGGGUCACAAGGGCACCAUCACUGUGCAUGGGAGUCGAAAGGUAGCUUUGGAGUGUGAAGAAGGCGACGCGGCUUAUGCUGAGUCUGCCUGUGCAGUAGAAGAGCUCAAAUUUUAUCAAGAAAAUGUUGACCCGGCGGAUAUGACCUCCCUGAAGAAGCCAACUAUAGAGCAUGAGCCAACGUUGAAGUUUAAAUCGGCCACUGAGACGAAGCUUGUUGACUUCACCCCAGGUGAUUCUUCUAAGCAAUUCAGCAUCAGUACAAAUCUGGAUCCUAAAUAGGAAAGCGCGCUCAUCGAGUUCAUCCGUGAGAACUGGGACAUCUCUGCAUGGAAGCCUUCUGACAUGCCGGGUUUACCGAGGGAACUCGUUGAGCACACUCUCAAUAUUGAUCCGAAGUAUAAGCCGGUCAGGCAGUUUCUUCAACGGUUCAAUGAAGAGAGACGGAAGGCUAUUGGGGAAGAAGUUGCCCGACUCUUAGCGGCCGGGUUUAUUGUUGAAGUUUUUCACCCAGAGUGGUUGGCUAACCCGGUGCUUGUACUCAAGAAGAACGGCACCUGGCGGAUGUGUGUGGAUUACACGGACUUAAACAAGGAUUGUCCGGCUGAUCCCUUUGCUCUCCCCGUAUUGAUCGAAUCAUUGAUGCCACAACGGGUUGUGAACGUUUGAGUUUUUUGGAUGCUUACUAUGGUUAUCAUCAGAUCAAAAUGGCAGUUAAGGACCAGGAGAAGACGGCUUUCAUCACUCCAUUUGGACCCUUCUAUUAUGUAUCUAUGCCGUUUGGGCUCAAAAGUGCUCAGGCGACUUAUCAACGAUGUGUGCAGAACUGUUUACACUAUCAAAUCGGGCGUAAUGUUGAUGCUUAUGUGGAUGACAUCGUAGUAAAAUCCAGAGAGAAGGAAACCUUGAUAUCUGAUUUGAAGGAGACCUUUGAUAAUCUCCGGGUUUAUAAGAUGAUGCUUAACCCGGCCAAGUGUGUGUUUGGUGUAUGCAGGCAGGCUCUUGGGAUUUCUGGUUUCGAACAGAGGCAUUGAAGCUAACCCGGAGAAGAUCAAGGAGAUUACCUCUCUGGCUAAACCGUCGUGCAUCAAUGAUGUUCAGCGACUGGCGGGUCGUGUUGCUACUUUAAGCCGGUUGGGUGAGAAGGCCCUACCACUAUAUCAGAUGAUGAAGAAAACAGACACCUUUGUCUGGAGUGAUGCUGCUGAUGCUGCCUUUGAAGAUUUGAAGAGACAGUUGUCAGAGCCACUAGUCCUUGCAGCUCCCAUUGAUAAGGAGCCGUUGCUGUUAUAUGUGGCUGCUAAUUCACGAGCCGUCAGUGUUCCUAUUGUGGUAGAGCAUAAGGAAGCUGGCAAGGAGCAUCCGGUUCAACGGCCGGUUUAUUACAUCAGUGAGGUGCUCAUUGAGUCUAAACAAAGGUAUCCACAUUGGCAGAAACUUGUUUACAGAGUGUUUAUGGCAAACCGGAAGUUGAAGCAGUAUUUCCAAAGUCAUCCGAUAAUUGUGGUAUGUUCUGCACCCUUGGGAGACAUCAUCCAGAACAGGGAAGCCACAGGACGAGUCGCUAAGUGGACUAUUGAGCUUGGGCCUCAUGGUUUCAAGUAUAUGCCACAUACUGCUAUCAAAUCUCAAGCCUUGGUGGACUUUAUCAAUGAUUGGACAGAGUUGCAGGCACAUAAGGAGAAUCCAGAUAACACAUACUGGAUUAUUCAAUUUGAUGGGUCCAGGCAGUUCGAAGGCUCAGGGGCUGGAGUUGUUUUAACUUCCCCUCGCGGUGAAAAUUUUUGUUAUGUGCUUCGGCUUAUGUUUCCCUGUACUAACAAUGCAGCUGAGUACGAGGCCUUGCUCCAUGGCCUCUAGAUGGCCAAAGAUAUGAAUUUGAGCCGGGUAAGGUGCUUGGGCGACUCAGAUCUCGUGGCUCAACAAGUGUCAGGCAAGUGGGACUCCAAGGAUCCCCUUAUGGCGGCUUACCGUCGUGAAGUAGAUGUUGUGGCUGGGCACUUCAGAGGUUAUCAAGUGGAGCACAUUGAUCGAAGAAAGAAUGAGGCGUCUGAUGCGUUAAGCCAGUUGGAAUCUCAGCGUAAGCCGGUGCCGCCUAACACCUUUCUUGAUGUUUUGCGUAAUCCUUCUGUCAAGGUGCCUACAGAGGAAGAACUAGCAGUGCCAGACCCAGACGUACAGCUGGUGGCUGCCCUUCACGUCAUCCCGGAUUGGACAGUGCCAUAUUUGGCCUAUAUGACCCGGGGAGAGUUGCCUGAGGAUGAGGUCUUGGCGAGACAAAUCAUCAGGCGGUCCAAAUCUAUGACGAUUGUUAAUGGCGAGUUACAUCACCUCAGUGUCACAGGGGCUUUUCAACGUUGUGUGUCGCCUGUGGAGGGUCAAGAGAUACUUCGUGAGAUCCAUGAAGGAGAUUGUGGUCAUCAUGCCGGCUCAAAAUAUCUUGUGGCCAAGACUUUCCGUCAUGGUUUCUACUGGCUGACGGCUCAUGCUGAUGCAGAAGAUCUAGUCAGCAAAUGUGACGGAUGUCAGAAAUUCUCACGACGAGCUCAUGUGCCGACUCAAGAGUUGAGGAUGAUUCCAAUUACUUGGCCGUUUGCAGUCUGGGGGCUUGACAUGGUUGGACCUUUCAAGAGGUCUAAGGAUAAAAAGACACACCUCCUGGUGGCAGUGGAUAAGUUUACAAAGUGGGUUGAGGCAGAGCCGGUCAGUAAGUGUGAUGCAGCCACAUCAGUUUAGUUCAUCAAAAAGGUGAUCUUUCGUUUUGGUUUUCCACAAAGCAUCAUAACUGAUAAUGUCACUAAUCUCUCCAAGGGUGCUAUGGAAGAGUUCUGUCAACGAGAACAUAUCCUGCUUGAUGUUUCGGCUGUUGCUCAUCCUCAAUCCAAUGGUCAAGCAGAAAGAGCUAAUCAGGAGAUCCUGAAGGGUAUCAAACCACGACUCUUGGUCCCUUUACAGCGGACUCCGGGUUCUUGGGUGGAGGAGUUACCCUCUGUACUAUGGAGCAUCAACACUACGCCUAAAAGAUCCACGGGUUACACACCUUUCUUCAUGGUCUAUGGAGCAGAGGCAGUCCUGCCAAGUGACAUCCGGCAUGACUCACCCCGCGUGGCGGCUUACGUCAAGGCUGAUAACAAAAAAGCUCGUCAGGAUGCACUUGACUUGUUGGAUGAGGAGCGAGACUUGGCAAUAGCCCGCUCGAUGAUUUACUAGCAAGACCUGUGCCGCUAUCACAGCCGCCGGGUUAGAAGCAGAACCUUUCAGGAAGACGACUUAGUGCUCCGGCUCAUCCAGGAUCAGUCUAAUAUGCACAAGCUAUCCCCUCCUUGGGAAGGACCCUUUGUGGUUAGCAAGAAUCUGAACAACGGGUCAUACUACCUCAUCGAUGUUCGAGAGCACAAAGACUCACAUAAGUCGGAGGAGGAGACCCGCCGGCCGUGGAAUAUCGCCCAUCUUCGGCCUUACUAUACUUGAGCCACCGGCUCUCAAGAUGUAUAUAUUUUGAUGUUGUAUAUAUUAUAUAAAGUAAUAAAGCAGGACCUCUGUCCUUUUUUCCCUCAAAAUGUUUAUAUGUAUUCUUUAUCAGGUGGUGGAAACUGCCAACAGGGAGCGGAUCAUAUCUGAAUCCGGCUUUCCCUUUGGUCUGACUUAUGAUCAUAUCUGAAUCUAGCCAUGAUCACUUGGGGGCUUCCUGUUCAAACAUAGGUCGUAUUCUACCAAAGAGAACAUAGCUGUCGGUACUCAUUUGAUCGGCAUACUGCCAAACCCACUUGGGGGCUUCUUGAUCAUAUUUGAAUCAGAGCUUAACCCCUUUGGGUCUGACGUGGAUCAUAUUCGAAUCAGCGUCAUUAAACAACUCUUAUGGUCACUUGGGGGCUUCCUAUUCAAACAUAGGUCGUAUUUGAACCAAAGAGAACAUAGUUGUCGAUACCCACUUGAUCGGCAUCGCCAAAGCCACUGGGGGCUAUAUGAUCGUAUUCGAAUCUUAGCUUAACCCCUUUGGACCGGUUUACUGAUCGUAUUCGAAUCAGAAGCCUUUAUUUAUUAUCCAUCAUAUUUUAUAAGCAAAGUUGUUUAACUAUCUUAAGACCUUCUUGAAAGCAUUCUGAGAUGAUCUUUUUGAUUCUUCCGGCUUAAUGUUGAUCACCCCUAGUUGUUAAGUGCCAAUCUUCUUGUUUCAUAUGUAGGAUAAGGCAAGUGAAUUUAAACAUCAAGAAAAUAAAAGAUCAACAUAAGCUGGAAAUAUAUGGUGAUGGCGGCUUACGAAAGUAUUAAGCGCCAUAAACAUGCGCGAAGGCAUGACAAAAUUAAGAGGUUUUUUACCCUAUUACAAGACUCCCCGAGUCUAAAUAAUGCAGGAUUGUUUUGCAAAGUCUUAAACGCCUGGCGGUUCACUCGUUUGGUGGGCUUGAAGACUCCAGGUUAUCCUUCUCCUUUUCUCCGUUGGUUGCUUUGUCCUGGAAAGUUGACGAGGCCCAGUCAAUGCCGCUCAAGGCUUCAAACUCAGCUUCAUCAUCUAUUAAACCUGCUGGGUCCACUUAAGGGGCAAAAAUAUGCUUACGAAUUGGAGGGAUCAGGCUGACUUGAUCAUAUGGAGUGUUUGGAAUUCUCCGGUUUUCACUUUCAUAGCCUGGCGAAUACUUGGUAAGGUCAGUGUCGUUCCCAAUGAGGGUCGCCACGGGACGUAUGUCUUUGACACAGGUGGUGAAAUCUUGAUCAUCAAAAAUGGUACCAUCCUCUUUCAGACUCGGGUAUCCAAGAGCGAGGUCGGCCGGGUCUAGUUCUGGAAUCCAUGCCUUUGCCCGGCUCAACGCGGCUACGGCUCCGGCUCUUGCAGACGCCCACCUUAAGUCCUAGAUCCGCUGAGGUAGCACAGCGAGACACCUCAGCACGUCUUGAAGAAGGUGGGGAGUAUCAUUUUAUGAAGCUACAAUAGCCAAAGCACGUUGUGACCCGGUGUACAGCUGCUCCACUAGAGUGUAAACCGCUUUCAGCUUGAUCAACAUAUUCUGUUUGAGGUUUGUGCUUCUGGGGCCUGCGUUCACAAACACAAAGUGAGCCGGAGAUAACGAUUACAAUAGUCAUCAAAGGAAGGAUAUGUUUGAGGUUAUGUGCAGUAACUUACCGAAGAUGGUUAGACCAUUUGAGAUAUAUGGCGCUUUAAGUCGGAUAGCUCGGUUGUUGCUUCUGCAAGUGAUGCCUCUGCCGUUUCGGCCCGGGUCACUAGUGAAGCCUUCUCAUCAGACCAGAUUUUCAUUUCCGCCUCAAACUCCUUCUUCAAUUUCUCUUGUUCAGAGACGCUGAAUUCAAACUUGGAGUUGGCCUUUUGGAUUUCAAGCUCUUGAGCUGUCAGGCGACUCUUCAGAUCAUUAAUUUCCGAUUCAAAUUUACUUAUGCUGGCCUGCAUUGAUGCCGGGUUAUAGUUAGAAUCAUGUUAAGGUAACAUUAAGUCCCAAGCACUUUGCAAGCAAAGAUACUUGGCACUUGGGGGCUAAUGUAUGUUGAAGGUUUUUAAUUAACAAGGCCGGUUUAUGUUAAGAAAUAUGGUAAGAUGACAUUAAGUCCCAAGCACUUUGCAAGCAAAGGUACUUGGUACUUGGGGGCUAAUGUACAGCGCAGUUCAAGGCAUCAUGUUACAAUCGGAUUAAAUAUCUUCUUUUUUUGAACCGGACAAAGCAGGAUUAAGCAGUUUUCUAAGUCUACAGCAUAUUUAUUCAUAAGCAAUAGACUUGGGGUCUGAUACAGUAAGUAAGAAUCAGGAAAAUAGCAUAAAUUAUACCUCAGAUUUGUGCUCUAUUUGUUUCACCAUGUCAAUUUCCAGAUCACGACUGUUAUGCACUUGAUUCAGAUAGCCCGAGACUAUGUCUCCAAUGCUUAAAUGAGUAUAAUCAGUAAUGUCCAGCUUGGCUUUUCGGCGUCCAGUAAGUUCCUCCUUAGCAGAGCAUUUGGCAAGGACAGUGGGUCGCCCUGGCUCAACAAACUGAGACCCCAGAACCUCAGCUUCCGAGUCAUUUGUCUUGACCGGGCUAGGAGCUUCCGGGUUGUCAGAGCUGUUGAGAGUAUCUUCGGCAGGCGGGUCAGAGGUUGGCACCGGAAUAUCAGAAGCUGGUUCAGGCGACGGCUGAUGGGUGGAACUGUCAGGAGCAGCUGUGCCAAGCUCCGGUUCAGCCACGACCGGGUCUUGGGACGGCUUAUUCUUCUUUGCCCUCUUACUGGGCUUCACUUGCAUACUGCCAACAAAGGUAGAAGGAUGAAUACAAAAGUGUGAGUAAGGUAAAGCCUAAGGUAAACAAAGUUACAUUACCUGGGGGCAGUUUUGAAAGCCGGCAUGUUAGACUGCAUAGGCUCACCGGAGGAAGGAGAAGUAUCCUAAUAAUUGGAGUCAGAUGAAUUGAGAGGUUGACGAAUUAAACCCGCCAAAGAUAAAACAGAACGUAAAUCGGAGAUAACCUCAGUUCGACACUUCUUGGUUACAUCAGGCAAGACGGAGGAGAGUUCAACGUCCUUGCUGGUCCGGGUCUUCCUCCGGCUUUCUAAUUGUUGUUGCUUCAAAAGAAAUUGAGGAUCUUGGUAAGCCAAAGGAUGUGAAAAUCUUACUUUCCGGGUUACUCUUCGAAUUUUCUGACGCGGCAGAGGCUCGGAGUCAGAGGAAAUUAUAGUUACCUCUUGCUCGGCAGCUCGGCUGUUCCCUGUGUCUUCCUGGAAAGAUUUAAAGUCAGUAAAGUAAUGAUAAAGAGUCAAGGGAGUUAGAAAUUACCUCUUCUUCGUCAUCAGAAUAGUCAAGGGAGUUAGAAAUUACCUCUUCUUCGUCAUCGGAGUCAAGGAAGCUCCUAUUUUUGUGUUUUUCCUCUCGGUUCUCUUGGCCACUCUGGCUUGUUUGGCGGCCUCAUGGUCAUACUUGACCUUCAAAAAGUUGUCAUCGGCCUGUGGAGAAGAUAAGGGGGUUAUGAGUGAAAGUAAGGUGUAAAGCACUGAAAGAGUAUUCAUGAAGGAUUAAUUACUUACUGCGGGGCCUGGUUCUUCUUGCAGAAAGGAAGUAAGCCAAAGGCGUUAGUAGUCACGGUGCCCUCUUUCAGCAAGGUUUGGGUCGUAGCCUCCACCACAUCAUCUGGCAAGUCAUCGGAACUAUGACGUAGUGGAUCAUCCUUCUCGCCUGAAUAACUGCACAUUAAGCCGGGGCGGCGGAUUAACGGGAGCACUCGUCAAGCGACCCAGACUCGGACCAAGUCAAUGCCAUUCAAGCCGUUGCCUAAAAGGGCUUUGAUCUUCUUGAUGGUAGGAGCAAGUGAUAGGCGUUCAACAGUGGUUAACUUAUCCGACAGCGGGUGAUUUGACUCAAGGCACAGAGCGCGGAAGCCGGGCAAAGGGUUCUCACCAGCCGGAGAAGUGUCCUGGCAAUAGAACCAUGUCUGAUUCCAAUCUUUCAGAUGACUCGGCAGUUCAGCAUAAGGAAAAAGGCAGUCUCUUCGCCGCUGAAUUGAGAUGCCACCAAGUUCAAGACUGGGCCCGUUGGCGCGUUCAUUCUGCCGGUUUAAAUAGAAAAUCUCUCUGAACAAAAGAAGAUUGGUCUCUUCUCCCAGGUACAAUUCGCAGAAGACUUGGAAGUUGCAAAUAUUUGACACGGAAUUGGGUCCAAUGUCUUGAGGCCUAAGGUCAAAGAAAUUCAAAACAUCCCUGAAGAAUUUUGAACCGGGUGGAGCAAAUCCCCGGCUCAUAUGAUCCGUAAAAACUAUCACCUCCCCUUCUUUGGGAUGAGGCUUCUCCUCGGACGGGUCAGGGGCACGAUAAGACAUGACCUCCUUCUUGGGCAGAUGGCCAGACUUUACAAAUUCUGACAGUUUGCUCCGGGUAACUGUGGAUGGGACCCAAUUACAGGUUACAGGAGCCUUGGUUGCCUUAGGUGCCAUGACGACAGUUGGCCUAUGACAAAAUAAAGGUUCCGGUUCAAAUUUAACCCGGCAGAAGGCAUUUUAAUUAUUCAAGGUGGCGGCUUAAGAAGGGGCCUAAUGAUAUAUGGAUAACUAUGCAACAAUAAUUAAGUCGCUACAGGUGUCACGAGCAGUUAAGUUUUCUUAAGUCAUGAGAAGAAAGAAAGGUUCACAGACCAGUGGCAUUUAUUUAAACCUGCUACAAGGACAGUCAUGGUUAAACAUAUUCGACAGAGGAAGUUUUUUAUUUUCCGGGUGAAACAAACAGGUUUCACAAGUUGCCGCUAUUAUUUUGGAUCAAACAGCUGUUCUAAAAAGAAAAUUUUCUAGACCUAGAACUGGGACAGAGGAAGUUCGAGGGCUCGAAUAGAGCCUCUGUGUGAUAUAAAGGGAUCUACUUGCAGCCAAAAUGGGUGUGAAAUAGCUACCGCGUCAGUUUAUACUAUCUUCAAGAUCAAGGAACAGUUGUGAUGAUGAAAUCUACGAAGGGUUCCUGACGAACAGCGAAGAACACCGAGGAACUCGAAGGUCCCGAUACAGAUCUGAGGAACAAGGAGGAGGAGACUUACAGAUGCAAGGUUGCUACAGAGGGUCGUCACGUUUUUCUGGUCCAACCAAGUUGAUGCAGCGGCCUGAAUUGGUGAAGACGAGGAGAUCUGCGAUGGCGGCGGCGGCGGAUCUCGAGCGACAGAGAAGCAGCAAGAGGAAGAAGACGACUGAAGGGGGAGAAUGGGAAAGACCUAGGUCGUGCCUAUUUACAAGGAAAGGAUGACUGAGACGGGACGAGAAACAAGGAGAUAAGCAUUAUUAUCCAGUGGCCCCGACGCCUCGGUUUUAGGAAUGGUCAGUAAAGGCAAAGAUCCGUUGGAGGAUAUGGUGGAAUAAAGAAUGAAUUUAAGUGAAGAUGACGUCACGGCGGGUUAACGCGGAUCCAAAAGAUGACGUCGUGGCGGGUUAAGGAAAACCUUUGUCAUAGGCAGAAGGCUGAAGAUUUAUUUCUUAAAGAUAUGUUAAGAUUGACAUGAACCGGUUCAAAUAUAUCUGGGGCCUAAUGUUGGGGAUGUAACUAUUCGUGUAAGCCGCCCGAGAGGGGCCGGGUUACACAAAGAAGACUCACCGGAAGGAAGCGCAAGACCAAGCAUGAAGAUGGCGGUUCAGUACAGGGUCUGAGGCCCACGGGCGAGUUGAGGCCCGUCGUAGUAAACCAUCAUAAUGGCAUGACUUGUAUCAUAAGGUCGAUUUAACUAGUCACCGAGACGGACACUGUUUAUGAGCCGGCCGGACUCUGUAAGCCGCAGGGCAUCAACCCGUGUAUAUAAGGGGACGGCCUGCCGGCAGCUUAGGCCAAGAAACAACUGAUUGAGAGCCGGGCAUAGCGUAUCUCGCUCCCUGGUCAUCGAAACAUCAAUACCAACCCAACUAGACGUAGGCUUCCCUUCACCGUAAGGGGCCGAACUAGUAUAAACCUCUCGUGUCCUUUGUCCUGAUUAACCCCUUCAAGCUUCCUAGUUGCGAUGGCUCCACAACUAAGUCCUUUCACGAGGACAUCCGACGUGACAAUUCCACGACAGAAAGGGUUGCAAGGCACGUAUUGUAUUGUUGCCAUCGAGGAUAAAAAGAUGGGGUUUAUAUCAUAUUGCAUGAGUUUAUCCCUCUACAUCAUGUCAUCUUGCUUAAGGCGUUACUCUAUUCUUAUGAACUUAAUACUCUAGAUGCAGGCAGGAGUCGGUCGAUGUGUGGAGUAAUAGUAGUAGAUGUAGGCAAGAGUCAGUCUACUUGUUGCGGACGUGAUGCCUAUAUACAUGAUCAUGCAUAGAUAAUCUCAUAAUUAUUCUCUUUUCUAUCAAUUGCUCAAUAGUAAUUUGUUCACCCACCGUAAUACUUAUCCUAUCUCGAGAGAAGCUUCUAGUGAAACCUAUGGCCCCCGGGUCUAUCUCUUAUCAUAUUUGCUUCCAAUCUACUUUUAUUCGCAUCUUUACUUUUUGCAUCUAUAUUAUAAAAUACCAAAAAUAUAUUUAUCUUAUCAUACUAUCUCUAUCAGAUCUCACAUUCGCAAGUGGUCAUGAAGGGAUUGACAACCCCUUUAUUGUGUUGGUUGUGAGUUCUUGGUUUGUUUGUGUAGGUGCGUGGGACUUUUGAGGAGCCUCCUACUGGAUUGAUACCUUGGUUCUCAAAAACUGAGGGAAAUACUUACGCUACUAUUGCUGCAUCACCCUUUCCUCUUCAAGGAAAACCAACACAAGCUCAAGACGUAGCAAGAAGGAUUUCUGGCGCCGUUCCCGGGGAGGUCUUCGCUCAAGUCAAGACAUACCACGUACUCAUCACAAACUCAUCUCCCUCGCAUUUACAUUAUUUGUCAUUUGCCUCUCGUUUUCCUCUCCCCGACUUCACCUUUGCCGUUUUAUUCACCCUCUCUUUCCCAAUCUCCUCCUCUCUUUUCGCUUGCCUUUUCUGUUUGCUUGUGUGUUGGAUUACUUGUUGCCAUGGCGCAAGACAAUACCAAAUUGUGUGAUUUCUCGAAUACCAAUAAUAAUGUUUUCCUUAGUACUCCGAUUGCUCUUCUUAAUGAUGUUGAGUCUUGUGAAAUCAACGCUGCUUUGCUGAAUCUUGUUAUGAAAGAUCAAUUUGCUAGCCUUCCUAGUGAAGAUGUCGUUUCUCAUCUAAACAACUUUGUUGACUUGUGUGAUAUGCAAAAGAAGAAAGAUAUCGAUAAUAAUAUUGUCAAAUUGAAGUUAUUUCCGUUUUCACUUAGAGCUCGUGCUAAAUUUUGGUUUUCGUCUUUGCCUAAAAAUAGUAUUGAUUCUUGGAACAAGUGCAAGGAUACUUUUAUCUCUAAGUAUUUUCCUCCCGCUAAGAUUAUCACUAUUAGGAACGAUAUUAUGAAUUUUAAACAACUUGAUCAUGAGCAUGUUGCCCAAUCUUGGGAAAGAAUGAAAUUGAUCAUUCACAAUUGCCCUUCUUAUGGUUUGAAUUUAUUGAUGAUCAUACAAAUUUUUUAUGCCGGUUUGAACUUUGCUUCUAGAAAUCUUUUAGAUUCGGCUGCGGGAGGCACGUUCAUGGAAAUCACGUUAGGAGAUGCUACAAAACUUCUUGAUAAUAUUAUGGCUAAUUAUUCUCAAUGGCACAACGAAAGAUCUUCUAGUAAAAAAGUGCAUGCUAUAGAAGAAAUCAAUGUUUUGAGUGGAAAGGUGGAUGAACUUAUCAAGUUGUUUGCUACUAAAAAUACUCCUCUUGAUCCCAAUGAUAUGCCUUUGUCUACUUUGAUUGAUAAUAAUAAUGAAUCUAUGGAUGUGAAUUUUGUUGGUAGGAAUAGUUUUGGAAACAAUGCUUAUAGAGGAAACUUUAAUGCUAGACCGUUCCCUAGUAAUUCCUCUAAUAAUUAUGGAAAUUACUCCAAUAAUUCUUAUGGUAAUUUUAAUAAUAUGCCCUCCGAUUUUGAGAAUAGUGUGAAAGAAUUUAUGAUUUCUCAAAAGAAUUUUAAUGCCUUGCUUGAAGAAAAAUUGCUCAAAGUUGAUGAUUUGGCUAGGAACGUUGAUAGACUUUCGCUUGAUGUUGAUUAUCUUAAACUUAGAUCUUCUCCUACUAAGCAUGAUAUCAAUGAGUCUCUCAAAGUAAUGAGAAUUUCCAUUGACGAGUGCAAGGAAAGAACCGCUAGAUUGCGUGCUAAGAAAGAUAGCUUUAUAAAAGCGUGUACUUCUAGUUUCCAUGAAAAUAAUGAUGAGGAUCUUAAAGUUAUUGAUGUGUCUCCUAUUAGAUCUAUGUUUUGCAAUACGAAUCUUGAUGAUAAUGGGACUGAUGAUGAGUCAACUUUACCUAGAAGGCGUCCCAAAAAUUUGGAGUUUUUAGAUCUUGAUGCUAAAUUUGGUAAAAGUGGGAUUGGAGAGGUCAUGACUUUAAAUAGUAUUGAACCCACUAUCCCGGAUUUCAAGGAAUUUGAUUAUGAUAAUUGUUCUUUAAAAGGUUGUAUUUCCUUGUUGCAAUCCGUUGUUAAUUCUCCUCAUGCUUAUAGUCAAAAUAAAGCUUUUACCAAACAUAUCGUUGAUGCCUUGUUACAAUCUUAUGAUGAAAAACGUAAUUUGGAAGUUUCUAAACCAUAAGGAAGUUGGAAUACAGUAGGUUUAACACCAAAAUAAAUAAAGAAUUAGUUCAUUACAGUACCUUAUGUGGUGGUUUUGUUUUCUUUCACUAACGGAGCUUAUAAGAUUUCAUGUUGAGUUUUGUGUUGUGAAGUUUUCAUGUUUUGGGUAAAGCUUUUAUGGACUAUGGAAUAAGGAGUGGCAAGAGCCUAAGAUUGGGGAUGCCCAAGGCACCCCAAGAUAUUCAAGUAUAGCCAAAAGCCUAAGCUUGGGGAUGCCUCGGGAAGGCAUCCCCUCUUUCAUCUUCGUUCAUUGGUAACUUUACUUGGAGCUAAUUUUUAUUUGCCACAUGAUAUGUGUUUUGCUUGGAGCGUCGUGUAUUAUAUUAGUCUUUGCUUUUUAGUUUACCACAAUCAUCCUUUAUGUACACACCUUUUGGGAGAAGCCUACUUGAUUAGAACUUGCUAAAAUACUCUAUGUGCUUCACUUAUAUCUUUUGAGCUUGAUAGUUUUUGCUUUAGUGCUUCACUUAUAUCUUUUAGAGCACGGCGGUGGCUUGAUUUUAUAGAAAUUGCUAGUCUCUCAUGCUUCACUUAUAUUAUUUUGACAGUCUUUUAGAACAGCAUGGUAUUUUCUUUGGUUACAAAUUAUGUCCAAGAAUGAUGAGCAUCCAAGUUGGGUAUAAUAAAAACUAUCAUAGAAAUUGAAUUGGAUGCUAUGAUCAAUUUGUUGCUUGAUAAUUGUUUUGAGAUAUAAAGGUUGUAAUGUUAGGUCAUGCUAGUGGAUAAUGAUGAAAUUGAGAAAUACUAUUGUUGAAGUUGGCAAGUCCCGUAGCAUGCACGUAUGGUAAAAGUUGUGUGACAAAUUUGUUACAUGAGGUGCUCUUUUGAUUGUGUUCCUUAUGAGUGGCAGUCGGGGAUGAGCGAUGGUCUUUUCCUACCAAUCUAUCCCUCUUGGGGCAUGUGUAGUAGUACUUUGCUUCGAGGUCUAAGUAGACUUUUGCAAUAAGUAUAUGAGUUCUUUAUGACUAAUGUGAGUCCAUGGAUAUACUCACACUCAUCCUUCCACUUUUCUAGCUUUUCUUACUACCGCGCAACUUUCACCGGUAUUGAGCCCAUUAUUUACCUUCCUCAAAACAGCCACCAUACCUACCUAUUAUGGCAUUUCCAUAGCCAUUCCGAGAUAUAUUGUCGUGCAACUUUCCACCGUUCCGUUUAUUAUGACACGUUUCAUCAUUGUCAUAUUGCUCUUGGCAUGAUCUUGUAGUUGACAUCAUAUUUGUGGCAAGGCCACCUUCAUAAUUUUCAUACAUGUCGCUCUUGAUUCAUUGCAUAUCCCAGUACACCGCCGGAGGCAUUCAUAUAGAGUCAUAUCUUGUUCUAGCUUUGAGUUGUAAUUCUUGAGUUGUAAAUCCAUAAAAGUGUGAUGAUCUUCAUUAUUAGAGCAUUGUCUCAGUGAGGAAAGGAUGAUGAAGACUAUGAUUCCCCCACAAGUCGGGAUGAGACUUCGGACUUUACAAAAAGAAAAAAGAAAAAGGCCAAAAAGAAAAAAAAUAGGCCGAAGAAAGAAAAAAAACGGGAAAAAGAAAAAAGAAAAGGAAAGGAAAAAAAAGAAAAAAAUGAGAGAACAAGAGAGAAGGGACAAUGCUACUAUAUCUUUUCCACACUUGUGCUUCAAAGUAGCACCAUGAUCUUCAUGAUAGAGAGUCUCAUAUGUUGUCACUUUCAUGUACUAGUGGGAAUUUUUCAUUAUAGAACUUGGCUUUUAUAUUCCAAUGAUGGGCUUCCUCAAAAUGCCCUAGGUCUUCGUGAGCAAGCAAGUUGGAUGCACACCCACUUAGUUUCUUUUGUUGAGCUUUCAUAUAUUUAUAGCUCUAGUGCAUCCGUUGCAUGGAAAUCCCUACUCACUCACAUUGAUAUCUAUUGAUGGGCAUCUCCAUAGCCCGUUGAUAUGCCUAGUUGAUGUGAGAUUAUCUUCUCCCUUUUUGUCCUUACAACCACCACCAUUUACCACCAUAGUGCUAUGUCCAUGGCUUGCGCUCAUGUAUUGCAUAAGAGUUGAAAAAGCUGAAGCGCGUUAAAAAGUAUGAAACAAUUGCUCGGCUCGUCAUCGGGGUUGUACAUGAUGGGAGUAUUUUGUGUAAUGAAAAUGAAGCAUGGCCUACCUAUAUGAUUUUGUAGGGAUAAGCUUUCUUUGGCUAUGUUAUUUUGAUAGGACAUGAUUAUUUGUUAGUAUGCUUUGAAGUAUUAUUAUUGUUAUGUUUUAUAAACUUUUAUCUUGAAUCAUUUGGAUCUUAACAUUCAUGCCACAUUAAAGAAAAUUACAUUAAGAAUUAUGCUAGGUAGCAUUCCACAUCAAAAAUUCUCUUUUUAUCACUUACCUACUCGAGGACGAGCAGGAAUUAAGCUUGGGGAUGCUUGAUACGUCUCCAAUGUAUCUAUAAUUUUUGAUUGUUCCAUGCUAUUAUAUUACCCGUUUUGGAUGUUUAUGGGCUUUAUUUUACACAUUUAUAUCAUUUUUGGGACUAACCUACUAACCGGAGGCCCAACCCGUAUUGCUGUUUUUUUUUGCCUAUUUCAGUAUUUUGAAGAAAAGGAAUAUCAAAUGGAAUGAAACCUUUGGAGGCGUGAUUUUUGGAACGAACGUGAUCUAGAGGACUUGGAGUGCAAGUCAAGAAGCAGCAGAGGCGGCCACGAGAUAGGAGUGCGCCCCCCCUGUAGGGCGCGCCCCCUGUCUCGUGGGCCCCUCGGGCAGCCACCGACGUACUUCUUCCUCCUAUAUAAGCCUGCGUACCCCGAAAACAUCCAGGGAGCAACCGUAACACAAUUUCCACCAUCGUAACCUUCUGUAUCCGCGAGAUCCCAUCUUGGAGCCUUCGCCGGCCACGUUCUGCUGGAGGGGGAAUCGACCAUGGAGGACCUCUACAUCAACACCAUAGCCCUUCCGAUGAGUUGUGAGUAGUUUACCACAAACUUACGGGUCCAUAAUUAUUAGCUAGAUGGCUUCUUCUUUCUUUUUGGAUCUCAAUACAAUGUUCUCCCCCUCUAUUGUGGAGAUCUAUUCGAUGUAAUCGCUUUUUGCGGAGUGUUUGUCGAGAUCCGAUGAAUUGUGGGUUUAUGAUCAAGUUUAUCUAUGAAUAAUAUUUAAAUCUUCUCUGAAUUAUUUUAUGUAUGAUUGAGUUACCUUUGCAAGUCUCUUCGAAUUAUCAGUUUUGUUUGGCCUAUUAGAUUGAUUUUUCUUGCCAUCGGAGAAGUGCUUAGCUUUGGGUUCAAUCUUGCGGUGUCCUUACCCAGUGACAGAAAGGGUUGCAAGGCAUGUAUUGUGUUGUUGCCAUCGAGGAUAAAAAGAUGGGGUUUAUAUCAUAUUGCAUGAGUUUAUCCCUCUACAUCAUGUCAUCUUUCUUAAGGCGUUACUCUAUUCGUAUGAACUUAAUACUCUAGAUGCAGGCAGGAGUCGGUCGAUGUGUGGAGUAAUAGUAGUAGAUGCAGGCAUGAGUCGAUCUACUUGUUGUGGAUGUGAUGCCUAUAUACAUGAUCAUGCCUAGAUAAUAUCAUAAUUAUUCACUUUUCUAUCAAUUGCUCGACAGUAAUUUGUUCACCCACCAUAAUACUUAUGCUCUCUCGAGAGAAGCCUCUAGUGAAACCUAUGGCCCUCGGGUCUAUCUCUUAUCAUAUUUGCUUCCAAUCUACUUUUAUUCGCAUCUUUACUUUUUGCAUCUAUAUUAUAAAAUACCAAAAAUAUAUUUAUCUUAUCAUACUAUCUCUAUCAGAUCUCACUUUCGGAUGUGGCCGUGAAGGGGUUGACAACCCCUUUAUUGCGUUGGUUGCGAGUUCUUGGUUUGUUUGUAUAGGUGCGUGGGACUUUUGAGGAGCCUCCUACUGGAUUGAUACCUUGGUUCUCAAAAACUGAGGGAAAUACUUACACUACUAUUGCUGCAUCACCCUUUCCUCUUCAAGGAAAACCAAUGCAACCUCAAGACGUAGCAGUGCCACAAAGGAGGUUCUGCAAUCACCGGUGCAUUUUAUCUUUUAUUCGAUCUCACGGGGCUGCCGGUGCUCGAUACCGAGCAGAUAUGGCGGGUCUCCAUCGACGGCGCCAUCGUCGGUCACAUCAUCCACGACAUCUCUCCCCCAUGUCGUUGCUUCCUCGGCGGCGACUUCCACAAUGGCACUAGCUGCAGCUGCUCCGGCUCUCGCUCGUGCUGCGGCUCUGUUCUUGCUGUCGGUCGCGCUGCUGCACUGCUCCUGCUUUCGUUCGUGCUGCUGCUCUGCUCUUGCUCUCACUUGCGCUACUGCUGCUGCUGCUGCAUGACCUCCGGCAGCUACAGGAGUUGCUGCUUUAGCACUCGCGCGCGGUGCUACUGCACAACUUGCUCUCUGCUAGUGUGUUCCCUGCUCGAGCGUCUGCUUAUUUAGAUCACUGCUUCUCUGCUACUAGUGCUCGAACGCCCUAAACAUCUAUUGCAAUGCUCUGUUACUAGUUCAAUCAGUUUUGACAGUAAAAUUCAGUUUCGACUGUGAAGUUCAUUUUCUUCAGUUAAGUUCAGAGUGAGCAGUACUUACAACAUCUGUUGGAGCGGCCGUGGCACGGCUGAUGCGAUUUACAUCUAGCACUUUUUGGUGAUAUAUUUUACAUCAUCUAUUGCAGAUGAUAUUAGGGUCCCACUUCAGAUUAAUGUUGCAUGUCUUGUCAUGCUUCAGCCUUGUCACCGUACACCUUAGCAGAGCUGCUCCAACGACCGAACCAUCCAUCACAGCGGAGCAGGACCCUCGGCGCCAUUUCGAGAGGCCUCGGAUCUUCUUCCCCGCCUCCGACAGUCACACCAGCAUCAUCACCAUCCUCCACGUCCAACCAAUGAUGCUGAGGUCGACAAGGCUAUGCCAAAUAGGUUGUACACUCUUCGCAUCACUUUGUUUCUCCAUUCCUCUCUUCUUCCAAUUCAUGUGAGCCAAACACCCAGGUUAACUGAAAUCCUAUGUUUCCAAAUGCUCUAUUUUGCACGUGCAUUCCUAUCCUAUUCCUGUGUUUUUCCUGUUCCUGCGUUUAUAGAAUCCUCCAAUUCUAAGGAGCCCUGACAGAUUUACUUCAUUUUCAGAUAGGCGUCAAAGAAAACUCUCUGUGUUAUGUCCUGCUCCUGCCGUGCUGUCAUCGACCCCACCUGAGGUGCACCAUCGAUAGAAGCGUUCACUGCAGCAGAGAUCCCCCCUGUAGACUUUCUUUCGCCGCCUCAGAUCAUCUUCCCCGUUGCCUGCAGCCACGCCAACUGCAUUCCCAUCAUUGACUGAGCAGAUGAACCUGAGGACUACACAGUUCCGGAAGAGAGGUCACAGUCUUUCGUGUUUGCUUACGUUAUACAUCGGUUAUUAUUACCUGCUACUUUAUCGUUCAAUCUUGAGUUUUGAAUUGCCCAUGGGUCUCAUACCGAGCGAGGAACGAAUAGUAUCUGUCUACUAUCUGGUUCAUCUGGGGUCUUCUAUGUGGUUCAUGUUGGGUGGGCAACAAACAAUAGAUGAUCCAUUGUCUAUCUUUUUAAACUGAAGCUAUAAUCUACCUGCUAUCAUUAGUUUUGGAUCCAUCCACUCGUUUGCUACCAUCAGUCUUAAUUUUUGCAUGCACCCCUUAGGCCUAACAAAACCUAACUAUGUCUUUUAUUAUGCAUGUCAGAUAUUGUACACAAUCGUACUGAACAUGUAGAGAAAAAGAGAAGACCGUUGCAUGCGAAUAUAAUGUCAUGCAGACACCACUCCAUGGUGGGCGAAGUGCCCCCCUCCUACAUUUCCAGAUUGUAUUCUAGAGGAAGAUAAUUGUUCAGAUGGAGAUUCAGAAGGAGCCGACCAUGCAUGUUUACCACCUGAGGUGUUUGAUCUAACCUGGCAUGCUGAUGUUGGUCAUAUCAUGCAUAUGGCGCGCUGCAUUGUUUACAUUAUACAUCUUAUAUGUCAUCAGCUUAGUUUAGAUUUUCUUUGUGUGAAUGCCACCUGUUUGGUUUCUAUAUCAUACUCCCACCAUUCCUAAUGUUUCUUCUUUUUAUAUUUCAACAAGUGACUACAUACGGAACAAAAUGAGUGAAUCUACACUAAAAUAUGUCUAUAUACAUCCGUAUGUGGUAGUCCAUUUGAAAUCUCUAAAAAGACAAAUAUUUAGGAACGAAGGGAGUAUAUGGGAAUUACGCAAUGCCAUUUUCUUUAGCCAGGCAUCAUAUACGUGAAUCAUGCAAUGCCAUCCUGUUUAGCCAGUCAUCGUAUAUGUGAAUUGUAUCGUGCCAUAUUUUUUUCCAUAAUUUAUUCCAUUUGUCAACAAUGUUUAUACAUUCAUCUACUCUUCCUGUGCAUCAGCCAUUUGAGUCGGUCAUGGGAAAAUCUGGUGUGAAAAGAAGGUCUUCUGAGCAGUCAGUGCUACAUGUCGAUGCAAAUUUCUUGCUGGUUACAGAUACCUCCUCAGAGGAGGAUUCAGAGAGAGAUGACCAGUCGUAUCCCCCCCCCGAGGUGCAUGCUCUAACUUGGCUGGGUUAUAUUGCUCACAUCAUGCAUAUGGUGUCUUGCAUUGCCAUGCCAUCUGCUUAGAUUAGACAUGCUUUGUGCGAAUGCCUCAUGUUUGCUUUCUAUAUCAGAUAUGUGAAUUACGCAAUGCCAUGUUUUUCAGUCAGUUAUCAUAUAUGUGAAUUAUGCACCGCCAUGGAGCCAGGCAUCAUAUAUGUGAAUUAUCUCAUGCCAUAUUUUUUUUCAUUACGUAUUCCAUUUGUCGACAAUCUGUGUAUAUUGAACUACUCUUCAUGUGUAGUAGCCAUUUGAGCCGGUUAUGGAAAAAUCUGGAGUGAAAACAAGGUCUUCAGAGCAGGCAAUGGUACCUGUUGAAGCAUAUAUCUCGAUGGUUACAGGGAGCUCCUCAGAGGAGGAUUCAGAGACAGAUGAGCAGUCCAAUAUCCCACCUAAGGUGUAUGCUCUAAGUUGCAAUGUUUAUAUUUCUCAUAUGAUGCAUAUGGUGUCUUGCAUUGCUUAGUUUAGACACCAUAUGCACAAUAUUGAAUUCUGUCUGCUUAGUUUAGAGAACAUACAUGCGAGUGCCAGCUACUUAGUAUAUGAAUCAAUUAUGUCAAUUAUAUCAUGCCAUCCUAUAUACUUAGACAACAUGUAUGUGAAUUAUUUCAUCCCAACCUAUUUUAGAAAGACAUCAUAUAGUUUUGUCAUGUCAUCCUAUUUAGGUACUCAUCAUAUGUUGAAUUAUGCCAUUAUAUCCUGUUAAGUUAUCCAUCAUAUAUCUGAAAUUGUGUCAUGCUAUCCUGUUUAGUUAGGCAUCAUGUAUGUGAAAUUAUGUCAUGCUGUCUUGUUUGGUUAGACAACAUAUAUGUGAAUUACCACAUCUCUCUAUCAUACAAUGUCUGUACGUUCAAUUUCUUUUCUUGUUUAUCAGCCAUUUGAAUUGGAGGGGGUGAUGGCAGUAUCUAAGGGAGCAAAAACCCGUUCUUCACAAAAGACAGUGCUACACGUCGAUGCAGAUAGAACCAUGGUUGUACUGGACCACAAACUAGCCCCACCACACAUAAUCGAGACUCUUCUAGAUUGCACACUUACACCGUUGGGCAGAGAACCAGCUACAACCCAUCUAACCUGUAGGACCUUGAAGUAUGUCUAGAGGGGGGUGAUUAGACUACUUGACCAAUUAAAAACUUAACCUUUUCCCAAUUUUAGAGUUUGGCAGAUUUUAGCAAUCUUUGGACAAGUCAAGCAAUCGUCACACAAAUCAAGCAAGCAUGCAAAGAGUAUAUAGGCAAUGGAAAUUAAAGCAUGCAACUUGCAAUAAAGUAAAGGGAAGGGUUUGGAAGAUUCAAACGCAGUUGGAGACACGGAUGUUUUUGUCGUGGUUCCGAUAGGUGGUGCUAUCGUACAUCCACGUUGAUGGAGACUUCAACCCACGAAGGGUAACGGUUGCGCGAGUCCACGGAGGGCUCCACCCACAAAGGGUCCAUGAAGAAGCAACCUUGUCUAUCCCACCAUGGCCGUCGCCCACAAAGGACUUGCCUCACUAGCGGUAGAUCUUCACGAAGUAGGCGAUCUCCUUGCCCUUACAAACUCCUUGGUUCAAUUCCACAAUCUUGUCGGAGGGUCCCAAGUGACACCUAGCCGAUCUAGGAGACACCACUCUCCAAGAAGUAACAAAUGGUGCAUUGAUGAUGAACUCCUUGCUCUUGUGCUUCAAAUAAUAGUCUCCCCAACACUCAACUCUCUCAUAGGAUUUGGAUCUGGUGGAAAGAAGAUUUGAGUGGAAAGCAACUUGGGAAGGCUAGAGAUCAAGAUUCAUAUGGUAGGAAUGGAAUAUCUUGGCUUCAACACAUGAAUAGGUGGUUCUCUCUCAGAAAUGGUAAGUUGGAAGUGUAGGUUUGUUCUAAUGGCUCUCACCACGAAUGAAGAGGAGGUGGAGGGGUAUAUAUAGCCUCCACACAAAAUCUAACCGUUACACACAAUUUACCAAUCUCGGUGGGACCGAAUCAACAAACUCGGUCAGACCGAUUUAGUAAACCUAGUGACCGUUAGGGUUUUCGGUGGGACCGACAUGCAACUCGGUAGGACCGAUAUGGUUAGGGUUAGGGCAUAAUGUAAUCUCGGUGAGACCGAUUACACAAACUCGGUGAGACCGAUUUUGGUAAUUAGCUAACCAAAGAGUUGGUCAGGUAAACUCGGUGGGACCGAUUUUCUCUUUUCGGUGAGACCGAAAUGUUACAAAAGGUAAACAAAGAGUUUACAUUGCAAUCUCGAUGGGACCGAUCGCUCACUUCGGUUAGACCGAAACGUUACGAAGGGAAAUAGAGAGAUUACAAUCCCAUCUCGGUGAGACUGAGAUCCCUAUCGGUAAGACCGAUUUUCCUAGGGUUUGUGGCAGUGGCUAUGACAUAUGAACUCGGUGGCGCCGGAUAGAAAGAAUCGGUGUGACCGAUUUUGGCUUUAGUUUUAGGUCAUAUGAGGAUGUGAGAAAGUAAUUGAGGGUAUUUGGAGCAUAUCACUAAGCACUUGAAGCAAGAGGCUCAUUAAGCAACACCUCAUCCCUCCUUGAUAGUACUGGCUUUUCCUAUAGACUCAAUGUGAUCUUGGAUCACUAAAAUGUAAAAUGAAGAGUCUUGAGCUUUUGAGCUUGAGCCAAUCCUUUGUCCUUGAUAUUUUGAGGGAUCCACUUUCAUCAUCCAUGCCAUGCCAUUCAUUGAGCUUUCCUGAAAUAAUAGUCUUGGAAUAGCAUUAGCUCAGUGAGCUAUAUGUUGUUAUGAAUUACCAAAACCACCUAUGAAUAGUUGCACUUUCAUAACGCGAACCCAGCGGAUAGUAAACCACUUAUAGUUGACAAAGCACCAUGUCCACCAUAGAGUACGCCCACACGAGCAGUUUGUAAAGCUACUGCAGUGCCCAAAACACGAAGACCACCACAGCUAACCCAAACUCCACGUUUAAAGCAGAAGAGCAACUGUUCUCAGGUCAGAUUCCGUAGCUAUGGUCCAUACUCCUUUGUUGUUGCAUCACUGUAUUUACUCAUACCAACUACUUUCGAAUUUGAAGGAUCCAAUUGAAACUCCAAUGGUGCAACAGGUAUGUUUUAAACCUAUUUCUUUAACUGGAUUGCUGUUCUAACUUCUUGCUCUAUGUUGAUUUCAGCUUAAGUUGUAUAAAAAGUUAUGUUCUCAUGUGAUGCACAUUACAAGUGCUGCCAAUGCUGUGUAGUUUCUCGCACUUAUAUUCUGUCUAUGCUGCUGUGUCUUAAAAAUAUAUGAGUUGAACUGUGUCUCUAUCUUGAUUAGGGAACAUAAACUAGAAUGAUAUGGACAAUAUAGUGACCAUAGUACAUAGAUAUAUGUUUGUUUUAUGCUAUUAUCCUGUCCACCUUACUACUGAACCGGUUUACCAAAAUGAGUUUCGUAUACUACAAGCUCAACCUGUGAUGUGUCUGCUUGUUUCUCUUGUAGUAUGCAAAUAGAAUAUUGGAGAAGAGCACCCCACUAUGCAAUGGUAGAGAAAGUAAUGCAGAUAAGGUUCAAGAUAGUGAGACAGCCCUGUUGGUCUCCAAGAAAGGUGAUAAAAACGAUCUUGUAGACAGUCAGAAAACCCCACAGUCCUGCGUUGAUGUAGUGUUUGAGUUACUGGCCAGUACCACUGGCACAAGCUCUUCGAACUCGCUGCCUGAAUCACUUCGGCUUCUUCAGUCUCAGCUACAAGCUGAACGGCAUUAGUCAGCUGUGCUGCGGCAAGAAGCCGAAGGACUGAGGAAGUCCCUGCAGAAUUCAGAUGCGUACUUUCUUGUGCAACAGCAAGCGCUUGAGGAUUUAAGCGCCAAACAAGAGAAAGUUAAUAAGCUUGCUAAGCAUGUUGCUAGAAUUAUGGGUACCUGGGAUAUUGUUUCUUGAACUCUUCUGAAGUGGUUUCAGUUCUGGACUUGUUUUGCUGCGGCGUUUAUAUGCUGCUUUGUUCCCUAUAAUUGCACUGGUGGCGAACUUUGAUGCCCAAUGGAUGUAAUAUGUGUAAUAGUCGUGAUAGCCUAGCAUAAGUUGUUUUCUUAUUUAUUUCCUUGUUGUCUUGUAGUCAGUGCAGUUCUUUUUCCGUGGUUUGCUAGUGGCUGCAAUAACCUAUUUUUUAAAACUAGGCCACAAUAACCAUGGGCUAAUAUUUACUGUAGUGACACUUGGCCUCCUACGGGCCGUAGAAACAGUGGGCCUUCUACGGGCCGUAGAAAUAGUAGGCCUUCUAUGGGACGUAGAAACAAUGGGCCUUCUACGGGUCGUAUCAUCAAUGGGCCUUAUACGGGCCGUAUGAUCGAUUGGCCAAACAUGGGCCAAUAACAGGACGCAUUAUGGCCGUAAACGGGCUAGAGUUGGAAUCAUCCAUUCAUGGGCCGACCUUAACGGGCCAUUGUUAAUAGGCCGUAUUUGAUGACGUUAUGGAAACGGCCCAACGUAUUAACGUACCACAAAUGGGCCAACUGUAACCACUGGCUGAAUUUGGCCCACAAGCAGAAAAUGACAGUAACAGGCCGUAAGUAAACGAAUGCUGGAAAUGAGCCCAAGAAUAAAUGGCCUCUAAGAAGGCCGAAAGAUAACAUGGGCUGGAAACGGCCCAACGGAAUAAUGGGCCGUUAAUGGGUAUAAAGUGAUACACUGUUCAUUAUGGGCCAGUUUCACCACGGGCCGUUAAUGGGUGUAAAGUGAUACACUGUUCAUUACGGGCCAGUUUCACCACGGGCCGUUAAUAGGCCAAGAGUUACAUAGGGCCUCAUAUGGGCAGAAAGACGUCAUGGGCCAUACAUGGGCUAGAAGUGAAAACAGGCUGGAAUCAUAUUGGAUGGCCCAAAUGAUGCUACUAGGCCUAAUUCGGAUUGGCCGUAACGGGCCUUGGGUUAGCGGGCUGUAAAUGGGCUAUAUGCGAACAGGCCGUUAACAGACUUUCCAUGGGCCGGCCCGCCACCUUUUAACCAAGUCAAAUGGGCCAGCCCACUACUAGAAAAACCCCUACUAAUGGCGCACCUAAUUUGGCCAUUAAUGGCGCAUCAGUGGUGCGCCAUUACUAGCACGCCAUUAGUAAUUUUUACUAAUGGCGCACCACUGGUGCGCCAUUAGUAUCUGGUAUACUAAUGGCGCACCAGUACUAAUGGCGCACCACUGGUGCGCCAUUAGUAUAGGCCAGGGUGCGCCAUUAGUAUGCCUCCCAGGGGCCAUGUAUACCCAGGUGCUUUGGCAUACUAAUGGCGCACUACAAUGGGAUGCGCCAUUAGUGACCGCGGCAUACUAAUGGCGCACUGUCCAGUGAUGCGCCAUUAGUAUGCUUUGUCAUACUAAUGGCACACUGUCAUGUGAUGCGCCAUUAGUAUGAAUAUUAGGUUUUUUUUUAUUUUUUAUUUUCUGUUUUUUGCACAGGUUACAUAGUUUUCUGUUUUAUACAGGCCCUUACUUCCACUAUGACUAGCCUUUCAUACUAAUGUCUUCGAGGUCUUAUAAAAGUGAACAGAGGGAGUACCUUUUAUUGUUUGACUUUGUUUAUCAGGAUUCCUGUGUUUUUCAAAUUCCUAUGAACCAAACACCCAACUUUGCAAAAUUUCUGCGUUUUUCUAACCCUCUAUUUUACACAUGCAUUCCUAUCAAUUUUCUAGUAUGUUCUUUUCUAGAAUCUUGCGAACCAAAGGAGGCAUAAGGGAAUGCAUAAAGUAGUCCAGAUGUCACUCAUUGGCGAUAAUCUUCGUGAUACAUUCGGCAUUCGCAUUGCCCCAGCAAUCCUCUGAAAGCCUUUUAUUACACGCUCAUCAACCUCGAGCACCGUACAAGGGAAAUAGCGUAUGCACGGUCGCCGACGAGCUUCCCAUCACCUAAGAUCAUCCCAAGGCAUGUGCGUGCACACCAGAUACAUUACACUAGUAGCCAGCGCAAGGAUGGAUUAUAUGGCGAAGUCGAGCCUCUGAGAGCUCGAGGAGGCGUCUGAAAGGUUUCCUGACAUCCACCUCUUGAGCAUCUCCAAGGCGGCCUUCAGUUGAUCCAUGGGUACCAUGUGACCAGAAUCGUGGACCUGAUCAUAGUGCCAAAAACAUCUCUAGUUAGUUUCACAGUAAAAUCCAAACUGAUGUAGCGCGGCACAAUACGCAGCAGGCAUUUGCCCUUAUAACACUCUGCUCUACUGUAUUGACAGAUAAUCUCUUGAGUAAAGGCCUGGUUAUUGUUUGUUCCAGAACUGACUGUUGGUAAGGGG